CGGCACCAAAGGUGCCAAAACCAUUGGCGGCACCAAUGGUGCCAUAUUGAUUGGCGGCACUACUCGUAUUAUAAAUACGAGUUCUGUCCAGCUGAAGGGAGAAAAAUCAAAAGAAAAAGAAGAAGAAGAAGAUGUGCUGCGGAAAAGAAGAGAAAAAGAGAGAAAAAGAAGGUAUUUUUUAAAAAUAAUUGAUUAUAUUGUUGUUAUUAUUUUGUAUAUUUUGUAAUAUUUUUUGUUUUAGUUUAGUUAUUAAGAUUAAUAAAACUCAAAAUAAUAGUAUUAGUUAGUAUUAUUAUUAUUGUUGUUGUUGUUGUUUUUGUUGUUGUUGUUGUUGUUAGUAUUAAGAUGUUAUUAAUGUAUUAAGAUGUAACUUAGUUAUAUUAUUGUUAGCAAAAAACUAGUAUUAUUAUUAUGGUUACUUAUUAUUUUUAUUUACCAAAAUAAACUAGUUAGUAAAAAACUAGUAUUAUUAUAGUUAGUUAGUUAUUAUUUUUAGUAAAAUUAAUAAUUUUAGUGUGUAUUAUUUUGAGUAUAAAAUUGUUAAUAUUAUUAGUGUGUUAGUUAUAAGGAUUAGUGGUUAAACGGUUUUCAUGUACAAAAUUGCAUAUUGAAACAUUAAUUUUUUUUAAGAAAUUUAGUUACCGUUCGAGAGUUUUUAUGAGAUUUUUUUUUUUUUACAGAUUAAAUAUUGAAGAUGGAUGCUAAGCUUCUUGUAUGCGUUUAUUUUGAUGGAGUCAUCUUGACAACAAGUAUUGGAUGUGUAUUUGAAUGUCAACAACAAAUAGCAAUGAGAUUUAAUAGAAAUGUAUCGUUCGAUGAAAUGAAGGCAAUGAUUAAUGCAAAAAUUCAUAGAGUUGUGGGAGAAGGAUAUCAGAAGUAAGCAAUAAUUAAAAUACAAAUAUUAAAUUUAUACAAAAAGUGCAUUAAACCCCUAAAAUUGAUGGUUCGAUGGUGUUAUACGGGGGUAUACCUACGCGGAGGUCGACGCUCACGACCUGGGCGACGACCAACAUCCUCAUCGUCCGCAGGUGGGGGUGUGGAGAACAUAGAGGAAAGGUCCUGUGCCUCGUUCGCUGCCGACGAACUUGAACCGGAAUGAGUCCCAUAAUGCUGCGGAUACGUGUCGGACGGGCUGGGCAUGCCGUACUGCGGCCGAGAGGAUCCAAACAGUUCAAACUCGUAGGCGUAUUCACCCUCUGCGAAGCUCGGAUAAUAUUCACCGCCCACCAAAUCCGGACGAUAGCCAUGUGAAUCUACAUUUGACUGUGAUUGUCCGGGAUCUGGUUGGGGGUCCUGCUCGGGCUCUGCCAGUUGCGGAGAAUAAUAUGCCAUCGGAUCCGGAUCCAUCAGGCUCACUGCAUCCUAUCCCCCAACUUGCUGCACGUACGGGGGGAUUACAGUCGACUGCCCUCCAAGUAAAUAUGGCUUCCCGCAACUAUAAUAUCAUUGUGUAUACUCCAAUGAUGGUUGCAGGUCGGUAGGCAUAACCAUCUGAGGAAUUCGGCGCAAUCGAUCGUUCCACAAUGCGACAAAUUUCCGAUGCUUAAUUCCCCAGUCCAAUUGAACAUUUCCUCUCUUUGUUAAGUCGUGAUCUUCCCCAACUGGCACGGCGGAUCCGGGAUAGGUUGGAUGUAGCCAAACUGCUGAAGCACCCGAUUACCGUGAUACCACUCAACGACGUUGAAAUUUAUAAUUGGUGUGUUAGUGCACCAUAUGUGGGAAUCAACGAGUGCGGAUGAGGGUACAACAUUUGUAAUUUCCGGCCUCCGGUAUGUCAUCCAUAUAAACUGCAUGAGUAAUAACAUUGUAACAAGUUAGACCGAUAACAUGUGAGUAAUAUAUAGAAAUAGAAUAUAUGUCAUGAAUAUUAGAAUAGCAGCUUACCCCUUUCCGGGCAUGCUGUUCAAUCCUGAGGCGGUAUAUCGGAACAUCACACGACUUCCCGAUGCCUAAACGGGUCGUCCACCUACAAAAAAUAGUAUAGGGUUUAGGGUUGGUAACAUUACUCAAUAUAUUAUGACUACAAAUAAUGAAAAUUUAUAUUUUAUCACUUGAGUGGCAGUGGAUACAGAUAGGGUUGGUGACUAAUGCGUGCCAAAAACAGUAUGUGAUAAAGCGCCCAGGACUGCAGCAGUAUGAGGCAUCCGCCGAUGUCUUUAACAUGCGGCUCUGUCGCCCGACAAAGCUCCUGGUACAGCGUUGCUAGAACGGCGGAACCCCAGCUAUACGACCUAGCAGUGGACAAAUCAGUUAACAGGGGCAAGUACGACAAAUGCACACUGUCGCCAUUUGCACCAGGCAUGAGUACUGCCCCUAUCAUAUGCAUGAUUUAUGCUCGAGCAGCGCACAUCAACUCACCUUCAGUGGCAGUCGCUAAUAAUUGUCCAAUUUUGGCUUUUAGGCAUGUAAAUUUUAUACCGGAAAAAUAUUUAUCACCGUCCUCUGGCGACUCUCCUAGGAGUUGAUAGCAAAGUGCAGCCGGAUCGGUGAAUGAAGAUACUCCCGUUACGGGACUCUCGUCAAUUGGGAGCCCAAGCUGCACUGCAACAUCCUCCAAGGUCACCGUGCACUCCCCGCACGGAAAAUGGAAAGUGUGCGUCUCCGGACGCCACCGCUCCACUAGCGCAGAUAAUAAAUUAAAGCGCAAGUCAGAGGACCGGAUCAAUGCUACUAACCCAAAUCCGGCUAGCUCCAGGUACGGCAUCAAUCGUGCAUCCGGAGCUAUCUUUAAAACACUCACACGACCCCUUAAUACUCGGAACGAGUCCUAAUAGUGUUAAAUUACAGAAAAAUAUUACGAUAACAUAAUUUAUUUGUAUAUACUGCGUAUAUCUUUUUUAAAUAAAUAGAACUCCUGAUUAACAAAUAAUAAAUCAUACCGCGUUAUUAGCCGCAUCAGAUAUGUGUCUAAUAUCGCUUCGAAUCAAUCGAGCCAUUGCGAUGCCUGCAAGUUGCAAAAAAAGUUAGUAAAAAAAUCUUAUUUCGGCCAUUUAUUCGUAUUUUUUUCUCCGCAUUUUAUUCCUUUAAAAAAUAUCAUAAUUUCUAAUUUUAUAAUUUUACAUUAUUUCAGUGCAUAAUGUUUGAAAUUUAUUAAUCUAGUGUGUUAUUUAAAUUAAUUUGGUGCAAAAAAAUAACCCUUACCCCUGCCCUUUGCUCGUAUUAUUUUCUCGAUUUUUAUUACUUUAAAUAAAAAUAUAUUAUUCUCCUAUUUUAUUAUUUUAUAUUAUUUCAGUACAUUUUCUUUGAAAUAUUUUGUAUUAAUUAUUUCUGAAUUUUAAAAAAGUUAGUAAUACACUCUUACUCCUGCCAUUUGUUCGUAUUUUUUUCUCCGCAUUUAUUGCUUUAAAAAAUAUCAUAAACUUAGUCUUUUAUAAUUUUACAUUAUUUAAGAGCAUAAUGUUUGAAAUUUAUUAAUUUAGUGUGUUAAGGGGGAAUAAAAGAAAAUAAUAAAUAAGGAGGGAUUAAAAGGUAAUUAGCCACAUAUUGUAGCCGUCUUUUUAUUCCCCUCCAUUACCCUUUUUUUUUCCUCUAUUAUUUUGGUAAAUAAACUUUUUCCCCUGCCCUUUGGUCGUAUUAUUAGUUUCCCGAUUUUUAUUACUUUCAAUAAAAAUAUAUUAUUUUCAUAUUUUAUUGUUUUAUAUUAUUUCAGUACAUUUUGUUUCAAUUAUUUGUAUAAAUUAUUUCUGAAUUUUUUUAAAAAAUUUACUAAUACACUCUUACUUCGGCCAUUUGUUUGUAUUUUUUAUCCGCAUUUUAUUAUUUUAAAAAUAUCGUAAAUUUUUAUUUUAUAAUUUUACAUUAUUUCAAUUUAUUAUGUUUGAAAUUUAUUACAUGUACAUUUUUCGCAUUUUAUUAUUUUCGAUAAAUAUACAAUUUCCGUUUUUUCUUUUCGUAUUUUAUGUUUUCUUAAACAUACUUCUUUGUCAUUUUACUUUUAAUGCUAUUUUCCUAAAAUUUUAAUUUCAAAUUCCUAAGUAAAUUUCAUAAAAAAUUCCCUAAUCAACAUACAAUGUACAUACCAUUAUUUUUUCAUUCUAAAUAUAUUUCAUAAAAUAUAUAUGCUAAAUAAAAUAAUAAAAUAACUAUAAUGUACAUAACAUAAAUUUUAAACACACAAAUAUUACAAAAAAAAUUACCUUUUUUUUCUUUUUUUCCUUCCUUCCCUCUUCUUCUUCUUUUUUUUUUCUCUUCUCCUUUCCUUUUUUUUCCUUCUUUCUUUCUUUUUUCUUCUCCUUUCCUUUUCUUCUUCUUUCUUUCUUUUUUUCUCUUCUCCUUUCCUUUUCUUUCCUUCUUGUUCUUUCUUUCCUCUCCUUCCUUUCUUUCUUUCUUUCUUUCUUUCCCUCUCCUUCUGUCCGCCCCACCAUCGACCCUCCCUUUUUAUGCACUGGUGCUGCCAAUGGUAUUGGCACCAUUGGUGCCGCCAAUGGCAUGGGCACCUUUGGUGCCGCCAAUGCCAUUGGCGUGACCAGUGUCCCAUCACAUCGGUGCAGAUUUUUUUUGCAGGUUUUUUUGUUUUUUUAUAUAUUUUGGUAAAUAAAAAAAAGUAUAACAUUUUGAUUAUUUUUUAUUUUUUUAUAAUAUUUUUGUAAAAAACCCUUGAAGUCAAAAAUAGGUUGUCAAAUAGGGAAGCACAUGCUAACAAUUUUUUUACUCUCUGGAAAGUGAAAUCCCCAAGCAAAUUACCAACCUGAUUCCUUAAAAACAUUUGCUUUGCUGGAAUUAAUUUAGACAACAAUUAAAUGAAUUCUUGAUUUAGCUAAACUCAAAAACUUACGGGGGUUUAAGAAAACUUGGCCCGUUUUCAUCAGUUUAUUGUAUUGUUAUAUGCUGCUGGUGCUGGUGUAAUUCAAGAUUGAAAUAAACAAUUGGCAUUAAUGGAUGGAUCGCCAUCCACAAUAUUGGUUGUAGUUAUGAAACAACAAUGUAGUUCAACAUUUAUUUUAUCAACGAUUUCAUUGGCUAAUUAAAGUUCAGAUCCUAGAGAUUGCAGCUCCUAAACCCAAAAGGAAAAACUAUUGAAUCAAUCAUUUAAUAAAUCACCAUCCUCAACAUGCUUUGAAUCUCGUUAGAUUGUGGUUGUAUGUUAGGUUCAAAAGAAAGUAUUUUUUUAUUACUUUUAAACACAUUUUUAUAUUUUAAAUACGCAAUCUUUGCGGAAAGACUAGUGGGGAAAGCCCAUGUUAUAUUGGCGGCUACCAAGUGGUAUGUUGACUGGACACAAUAAAGAUAUUAAGCUGGAAUGUCCGUGGUUUGGCGCAAAUGCGGACUGUGAGACGUCUCAAAAGUAAGUUGAGACAAGUUCAACCCCAAGUUUUGUUUCUAAUUGAAACAAAAGUAAGUGCGAGACGAAUGAAGAAGAUAAGGCAGAAAUGUGGUUUUAUGAAUGCUAUUGAAGUGGAUGCAGUUAGAACAAGAGGGGGAUUAUCUUUGGCGUGGGUGGAAGUACUGUUGAAUAUUACUUUACAAAGUCCUUUUGGAUCUCAUUGAUGUGGAGGUGGCGGAGGAUGAUGGAGAGAUUAUUUGGAGAUUCACAGGAUUUUAUGGUUCCCCUGUUGAACAAACAAGGAAAGAUUCGUGGAAUUUACCGUGACAGUUGAAUCAAGGAUAUAAUAUGCCAUGGCUAGUGUUAGGGGAUUUCAAUAAGAUCUGUUAUUCAUUUGAAAAACAAGGUGGUCGCCUUAGGAAGGAAAGAUAAAUAAUUGCGUUUAGGGAGGUUUUAGAUGACUGUGAUUUGAGUGAUCUCGGCUUUUCGGGUCAAUGGUUUACCUAAGAGAGGGUUUUGAGGAUCAUUUAAAGAGAUGGUGAGCUACGACAGAUAAAGUGGUGCCGGACAAACUUAAGGAGUUAGAGAUGGAAUUAAGCAGUUGGGCUAAAAAGAUAAAAGUUGAUAGGAAUAAAAGACGGGCGGGUUUGAGUAUGAGGCUUACUGAGUUGAAUAAUAAGGAUCCUUGUGACAAGGUUUUGGUUGAGAUUACUGAUGUGAAACUUGCUUUGAAUAUGGAAGCGGAUAUGGAAGAACUCUUUUGGGAACAGAAGGCAAGGACGAAUUAGAUUCAGCUAGGGGACUGUAAUACCUCAUUUUUUCAUAAAUUCGCUUCUAUUUGACAAAGAAAAAACAAGAUCAACGGGUUGGAAAAUGGGGAUGGGGAUUGGGUCAAUAAUCAGGAUGAUUUGGUUAGAGUCGCAACUGCCUAUUUUAAAGAUUUGUUUUCAUCUAAACCAUGAAGAGAUUGCGAGCAUUUGCUUUCUAGAAUUUCGAUAUGUGUCUCUGCAAUUAAAUUCAUAGCUCUGCUUAAAGCUUUCAGAAAGGAUGGCUUCCUUGCGCUUUUCUAUUAGAAGUUUUGGCACAUGGUAGAGAUUGAAAUUGAGAACUAUUGCCUGGCGAUGUUGAACGAUCAUUAUAAAAUUGAGGAAAUUAAUAGUACGAGCAUCAUUCUCAUUCCAAAAGUUGCUUCAUCAAAGAACAUGGGGUAGUUUAGACCAAUAAGUUUAUGUAAUGUUCUUUAUAAGGUGGUUUCGAAGGUUUUAGUUAAUAGAUUUUAGAAGGUCCUCAAUGGGUGUAUUAAUGAGACACAAGGGGCCUUUGUGGCUGGGCGAUAAAUAUUUGAUAAUAUCUUUGUAGCUUAUGAGAUAUUGCAUUCUCAGAAGAAGAAGAAAAGGGAGUCGACGAGAUCUUUUUCUUUGAAUCUUGACAUGAGUAAGGCCUAUGACUGGGUUGAAUGGAGCUUUCUGAAAAAGGUGAUGGGAUUUAUAGGUUUUUGUAAUGCAUAGACCUCACUUGUUAUGAGAUGCGUGUCCAGUGUGUCGUAUUCGGUAAUAUUGAAUGGGUGUCAAUGCGAGAAUUUUUUAACCUUCUAGAGGUUUACGACAAGGGGAUCCACUUAGCCCUUAUCUAUUUUUUAUUUGCAUUGAAGGGUUCUUAAGGCUGUUGCACAUGGCAAGGGAGGAUGAAAGGCUUCACGGGGUGAAGAUUAGACGUGGUGACUUGAGUGUUGGCCACCUUUUCUUUGCUGAUGAUAGCAUUUUGUUCAGUAAAGCAUCGAUUAAAGGGGCAAAUUUCAUAAAGGCGGUGAUGGAUGAUUAUGAGGCAAUAUCGGGGCAAUUAGUUUAAUAAAUCCCUUAUUUCUUUGGUGGUAAUAUUGAGAAUAUGAUGUGAGAGCAAAUAGGCAGAAUCUUGGGUGUAUGAAUUUCAAAUAAUCCAGAGAGGUAUUUAGGUUUGCCUACAAUUGUGGGUAGGAGGAAGAAGCAGGCUUUUAUGGAUCUUAAGGAGAAACUGACACGAAAAAUUCAAACGUAGAGUAUGCGUUACCUAUCGAUAGGAGGGAAUGAGGUAUUCAUUAAAGCCAUUUUACAAGCCAUCCCAAUUUAUGCUAUGCAAUGUUUCAUGGUUCCUGCUACUCUAUGUCGUGAUUUAGAAAAUCUAAUGUGUAAAUUUUGGUGGCGAAAUUCCAAAUCUGGCAAGGGUAUACAUUGGUGCAAGUGGAGUGUGUUAUGUGCUUCAAGAACACAAGGGGGGCUCGAUUUUAGAUAUCUUAAAUGAUUUAAUAUGGCCCUGCUAGCGAAGCAGGGAUGGAAGCUAAUUACCCAACCUAAUAACUUAUUGUUAGAGUAUGCCCAAAGAUCAAUCAUGAGAUGGUUGUAAUAAGAUACUUGAUUUAUCAUGUUUAUUAAUAUAAGGCGUUACCAUUAUUAUUUCAGUUUCUUUUCCGUGUGUAUAAAUAAACUGUUUUAUAAUAAUGUCCUAAGAAUAAUAUGAUUAUUCUUAAAAGAUCCUUAGUCAAGUAUUAUUGUUGGAUAGGACAGCGAUAAUGCAUUAAGACUAACAUGUAGUUGAUUGAUGAUAAAGAGUUGUCAUUGAUAUGGAAUGUCAGAAUCGAUGCAUGAAUAUGUGUGUUAGAGAACAACAUAUUGGACUGACCCAUUAUGAGUAUGUUUCUUAGAUUAUUAUGUAAUUGUCACGACAUUACUCAUAGUGAUUAAUAUGUAUAUAAUCCUCAGACUUGAGAUCAUCAUAAUCCCAACAUCGUGAGUAAUAUAUUUUGAUACAGUCAAACGUACACCGUAACUGGUUGUUCUAUAAAGGUUGAUGUUGGGUAUACCACAAUCGAUGUAAAGGGAUAUGGUUGGUCGAUAUAGAAUAAGUCUUUCCUACAUAAUGAGAGUAAUAUCUUAGGCCACUUGAUUAAGUGAGACUAGAAAUGCAUGGCCAUGCUUAAAUAAGUUGAUAUGAGAUGUCAUACUUAUUUGUAUAUUGUAGUAUGCUUAAGAUAUCAAGGAACAUGGAAUGGACUAUGCAAGUGUGACUAUUCCAUGACUUGUGUCCAAUCCAGAGAUAAAGGACUUAAGGAUUAUUGCAUAAAAAGUUAAUCAUAAAAAGGUUAUAUCGAAUCAUGAUCUCUUGUGACUUAGGUAGCAAUGAUGCAUUGCUAGAUGCCACUCAUUGUUUGUAACAUUGGAAUCGUUCUAGUAUUACUGCUAACGUUACAGGAACCUACAGGGUCACACCCUAUAGUUGAAAUAAACGGAAUAAACCAUAGUUGGUAUUAUUUUUGGGGAUCGCUUGAACUAAAUUAAUUAUAGAAUUAAUUUAAUUCGACAAUCAAAUUUCCAACACAUUAUGUACAAGGUUAUUGUACGCAUAAUGAGGACAUGAAUUUGGUUAGCAUAUGAAUUCAAAUAAAUAUAUGGUUUACCGAAAUUAUAUUAUAAUUAAUGUAAUUAUAAUUUUCAGUUUAAAAUAUUAUUAUAUUUAUUUAAUUUCUAAAAACCUUAAAAUAAAAUAUAUAUAUAUAUAAGAAUCCUGUUUUUCUUUGUUUUGGGUCUAGCAGCCGUCAAAGAAAAAUUACUCUCAAAACUAUUUUGGGGAUUUCUGCUUUCUUCAGUUCGUAGUCAACUGGGUGGAUUACGUAGAGGUCGGGGUCUCGAUAGAUUGCGGCUUGGUUCGACUGUAGAUCUGACUACACGUUGUUGAGACGUUGUUGUCUACUCAGAACAAACAUUCGGUAAUUUCGUAACCUUUAUCACCCCGAUUCGUUCCUAACACAUGGAUCCUUGGUUAGGAUCGUCGGAUUUUUAUUUUUUCGCUGCGCCAUAGGGGUGCCGGCGAUCUAACACUUAUGUGCACACGUUUUGAGAGCUUAGUAUUUCCAUCGAGAGAACUUUAUGAGUGCACGUUUGGGAGCUUACCCUUUAUAUUCCUGGCGUAGUAUUUGGGGAGCUCGUAAGCUCAUUGAGGCAGGAAUGGGCUGGAGGAUUGGGAAUGGAAUGGCCAUGAACAUCUGGAACGAUGUGUGGGUACCAAGUCUUGGAGAUGGCAAACUUCAGUUUCAGAAUAUUGAUAUUCGGUACACUACUGUUUCAGAUUUAAUUAAUGUAGAUACAUUUACUUGGAAUUGUGAUGCUAUUUGGGAACUGUUUGGUGGUAAUCAGUUGAAGCUAAUCAUGUCAAUCCCUUUGGUGAGCGAUGUACAUACGAAUAAGUUGGUAUGGAGUGGGGACAAAACUGGGGAAUACACAGUGCGUAGCGGCUAUAAAUAGGCUUCUUACAGGAGGUUAUGAGGAAAUGGGGCAGAUUUUACAUCACAUAAUGAGUGUCUAUCUAACUUUUAAUCAAGGUUAUGGAAUUUAAACAUUUCUAGCAAAAUUAAAAUGCAUAUUUGGAAAGUGUCUAAUGAGUUUAUCCCAACGAGAGGGGUUUGAGGUCCAGAACGCUUGGUGUGAACUCUGUGUAUGCAGUCUGUGAAGUGGAAGACGAAUCGAUAGCUCAUACUUUUCGUGAUUGUAGUUUUUCUCAGUAGGUUCUAGAGGGCGCUGGUGUGGCUCGCUCGAUAGGUAACAUGCAAGAGAAUUGGAAACAGUGGUUAGCCCAGGAAUUUAUGAGGAAAGUAUAAUGGAAUGUUGUAAGUUAACUAUAUCGUAUUGGGCACUGUGGUACACUCGUAACAAAGUUUAUCAUAAGGGUAUAAGGGAUUGAGUUAGGAUGUUUCGAGUUUUAUUAAUGCUUACUUACUAGAGCUUGAGCAAUUAAAUAGUCUGUCUACUUCUAUAAAUAUUCCUCGACAAACUGCUUGGGAGCCUCUAGAGGGGAUACUGUUAAAGUAAAAUUUGAUGUCUCAUUCGACCAGCAGUUACAUACUUUAUGUUCAAGAGUCUUAGCAUGAAAUAGAGAGGGUCUGGUCGUGGCUUCAUGUACGUACCUGUAGGAGAACAUUCCGAAUUCAACCAUGGCUGAGGCGAGAGCAUGUCUUAAAGCAGUUUCGUUCGCCAAAGAGUUGGGUUUUAGAUAUGUGUGUGUUGAGGGAGACACCUUUAUUGUCAUCAAGAAGCUAGAAACUGCAAAUGAAGAUAGAUCUAUCAUUGGCACAAUCGUUCAAGAAAUAAGGCAGAAAAUACACAGGUUUAGAAGAUUUCAAGUAGGGUUCGUAACUCGAGGGACAAAUGCGACGGUGCAUGGUUUGGCGAUGGAGCGAAUAAAGUAUGGUUGUCCGAUGUACUAGAUUGAGGAGGUACCGAGGGCGGUGGAGUGGCUUGUUGAUAAAGAUCGGAGUGGGGGAAUGACUGUUCGAUGAAACUGAGUUCGAAUGGUAGUAUCUUGUCUGAUGAACUCUUAUGUUUGUUUUGGAGUUUCGAGCUAUAUAGUUGCUAAUGAAUGUGGUUUGUUGUUUACCCAAGCUUUACUGAUGGUAAGGAGAUGGAGAAAAUAGGGAAAGGAAGGAACUGCUAGGGGAUGAUUCAUUUAUGUUUUUUUUUCAUUUCUUGGUUUAGAUUUCACUUCUGGUUUUAUUAUUUUGUUUUUUUUUCUUUUUUUGUGGUGGUCUCUUGGUCUGCUAGAUUUCUUUAACUCUGUGGGCAUGGUUUAUGAUCCCUAGGUGCCGAAUAGUGGUCUAAUAAUAGGGCUACACGUGGGGCUGGCUGCUAAUGAUUCUUUUUUUUCCUUAAUUAUGAAUGACAUCAAUUAUUUCUUGGUUAAAAAAAAUACGCAAUCUUUACAUGCAUAUAUAUGUAAUAAAAUUUCUAAUUCUAAUAACUUUUCACUCUUUUUAAAUAACCACCCAUCUUUUCAAAAAAUAAUACUACUCAUGUGCAUAAUUACAACUUUCCACGUUUUUAAAAGAACAAAUCUCAAAAUUAUACAUGAACUAUGGUUUAAUGUGUAAUUGUAUAUGUAAACUCUAAUUUGGUGCAAUUUUAUAUAUGAAAUUUUGAUUUGAUCCAAUUCUUGUAAAUUAUUAACAUAAUUAUUGAUAUAACAUCAUUUUAUAUUUAUAUAUUGCAAUAAUACAUAAUUAUAUUUAUCUAAUAUAAAAAUAACUUGAUGUAUUUAUUUUUUAAAUGUGUAUGAUUAAAUCAAAAUUAAAGUUUCAAGUAUACAUUUGAACCACAACUAGAGUUUCACGUAUAUAUUUGCACCAAAUUAAAGUUCAUGUAUAUAAUUGUACAUUAAAUCAAAUUUCAUGUAUAAUUUUGAGAUCUAUCCCAUUUUUAAAAGAUAAUUAUUAACUUAAAAAUUAUUAUUUCAUUUUUAUAAUAUAUAUAUUUUAAAAAAAAUUAUCACCAACAAAGUAGAUCUCAUAAAUUCUAGUAUAAUUUAUGAUUUUCAUUCUAAUUUUUUCCCUCUAAUUAUAUAAAUAGGAAAAAUGUAACAACCCGUUUUCAGUGAAAUUGGAACUGUGGUUUCGGGACCACAAAUCCGAGUUAGAAAGAAAAUUUAUUUUAAUAUUAUUGCAUAGUCUGCAUUAUGAUAGAAAUGACGUAUGAAAAUUUCGUUAAGAAAAUUUUACCAAUUACAUGUUUAAUUGAUAACAGGACCAAAUUGCAUAAAUUGCAAAAGUUGAGUUCUAGUAGUUAUAUGUAGCCAAUAGCUAUAGAAUUCAAAAUUGAGGUCCUUAUAUGGCAAUUAGACCGUUAAAUGGAGUUAUUAGAUAAUUAUGAUGAUUCAUCCAUGGAAAAUUAAAUAAAGAAAAGGACUAAAUUGGAAAUUGAAAUAAUUAAAGAUGAUAAUAAUCUAAUAUCAUCUUAUUUCAUCAUCUUCCCCAAAUCAUUUUAUGGAAACCCUAGCUAAGAGAAAAGAAUUCAAGCAAGCUUAAUUAGGUAAACAUUCUUGUCCCGUUUUUAGUAAUUUUAUAUUUCCGAGAUCGUAAUAACCUAAUCUAGCUAAUUUAGGGAUUAAUUUGCAAAUUUAUCAAAGUAUUAAAAUUUUUCCAUGGAUGCGUAUGCUGAAAUUUUGAAAUUCUUGGUAGAAAAUGAAAUGUUGUAGAUAGAUAAACAACUUUUGUAAAGGAAAUUUCCAUAAAAUUGUGAUUUAUGGACUAAAUUGAAAAGAUGUUAAAUUCAUGAAAAUUUUUUGAUUUUUUUGAAAUGCAUGGACUGUUAUUGUUAGAUGUAAAAAUAGGUUAGGCUUGGAAUAAUGAUUAAAUUGCAUGAAUUUUAUUUUUCGAGCCUAAGGACGAAAUUGGAAUUAAUUAAAAGUAUAGGGGCAAAAUGAUACUUUUGCCUAAGAUGUGAAUUGGGUUGAUUUAAAUAUUAAAUGUAAUAAAUUGAUGAUUAAAUUCAUUUAUAUAGAUCCGAAAAGACCAAAUAAGGAGUUAGAUCGAGGAAAAUAAAAAGUGUCGAAUUAGUAGAUUUUCAUACACGAGCAAGUGUUGAGGUAAGUUCGUGUAACUAAAUUGAGAUUUUAUAUGUGUUAAUUGAAUUGUAUGUAUGUGUUUGUAUUAUUGACAUGUAUAUGAAAUUGAUUGAAUAUUCGAUAAUGUCCAACAAGUAUAAAAUCUCGUAUGAAUAAAUGAAAUUCGAUGGAUACAGGAUUUCCCGUAUUGGUUGUGGUCUUGCAUAUGUUGCAGACACACCAUAGCUCGAAAGAGCGUCCCGUUAUAAGUCCUGUCAAGCUUCCCCGUCUUAAAGUUAUUGCGAGCUUCCUAUUAUAGCUCUUCGAAGCAUCCUGAUAGGUUGUGAUUCUACAUGAGUUGUGGACACACCUUAGCUCUUAUGAGCUUCCCGAUUAUAGGCUCUUCGUGAGCUUCCUAUUAAUUGGCUCUUCGUGAGCUUCCUGAUAUGGCUUGUUUGAACUUCCCAAUAUAUAUAUGGCUAUCCAGAACUUUUCGUUAAUGGCUCUUUGGAGCUACUCGUUAUAGGCUCGCAUGAGUUUCCUAAAUAUAGCUCUUAUGAGCUUCCUGUUAUACAACCCGGAUAAGCUUCCCGUUACAUGGCUCACAUGAGCAUCCUGAUAUAGGACUUGAGCGAGUGCUUCCGGUUUAAAAGCUCGUAUGAGCAUUUUCGGAUAUGCAUUGACGGAUUUCAGUUUUAUGCACUUCAAGUGUACUACUUGUGUAUCCAUCGAUAUUUCAAAUAAAAUUCAACGGACAAAGUUCCGACAUGGAAUAUACGAGCUUGAGAUGAAUUAUUAUUUGGAAAUGUAUAUGUCAUAUGAAUAUGAUAUAGAAAACAUAUAUAUAUGAAAAUUUUUACAUGAUGAGCUCAUCCUUGUGCUAGUUAUUCAUAUGAAAUACAAGACUAACAUUAUUAGUGAAGUUAUGUGUUUAGGGCUUUUAGCCAAAUUUGCUUGGAAGCAAUUUAUAUGUUUAUUUUAGUGAAAAUGAUAGUAAGUUAAUUUUUCGUUAUACGAACUUACUAAGCAUUAUAUGCUUACUUCGUUUUAUUUUCUUUGUUUUAUAGUACUCGAAAGCUCGUAAAUGUUGGAAGUGAGUCGGAGGAAGAUCACACUAUCCUUCAGUUCACUUUGGGAUAAUUAGUAAAAUUUCUUUUGGUAUAAUGGCAUGUAUAGGCUAAGUUAGGUCAAAUGAUGAAAAUUUUUAGUUAUAAUUAGCCAUUGGAAUGGCUAAUGAUGGUAUGUUUGAUGUAUACAUAUACAAAAUUAUACUAUGCUUGGAAUGUGUGUGUUUGAACUGGUUAGAUUGGUAUAAUAGGUAUAAGCAUGCUUAAAUGAACUUAUGAUCAAUUUGGUAGAUUGAAUACUUGAAUUAAUAUGAUGGUAUAAUAAGCAUAAGACUUAGUUCUUGACGUGGAAGGUAAAUUGGGUGAGAAAAGUGGGCUAGAAAAUGGCCUAUUUUUGUCUACACGGGUAGAGACACGGGUGUGUGUCUCAGCUAUGUGUGACACACAGUCAUGCGCGCGUCCGUGUGGUGUGGGCGUGUGUCCCCUGUAUCUUAAAAAUUGAGAAACAGAAUGCUUAAGUAGUUUCACACGGGCAGAGACACGGAUGUGUGUCUUAGCCGUGUGUGACACACGGCUUAGCACACGGGCGUGUGUCUUGGCCGUGUGGCCUCUGUACCUAAUUAUUGAAAAUUAAAUUGUUCACACGGCCUAACACACAGGCGUGUGGUUUGACCGUGUGACCCAAGUCAGAGAGUUACACGGGUAUGGACACGGGUUGGGACACAGCCGUGUGCCUCACAUUGAAUGCCCACACGGCCUAAGACACGGGUGUGUCACUUGGCCGUGUGAGCCACAUGGGCAUGUGUCCCUUGCACCUAGGCAAAAUUUUGAAAUUUCGCGAAAAAUUCUCUGAGUUUCCAGUUUAGUCCCAACUUGAUUCUAACAUGUAUUUUGGGCCUGGAGGGCCCAUUUAAGGGACAAUAUGAUUGAUUAUGUAUGAUUUCGGAUAUGAAUAGUAAAAGAUAUGAGUUAACUGUAUUUGGUCUGAAAACUCCGAUAAUACUCUAUAACCAUGUUCUGACGAUAGAUAUGGGUUAGGGGUGUUACAAAAAAUAUUUGGUACACUAUCAGUGAAAUUUUUAGAUCUCAUAAGUAAGGUCAUGGAUUGACAAGUGUCCUAUAAGGGUAAAGUAAAAUACUAAAAAGAUUAAAUAUUUAAAAAAGAAAGACACAUAUCACUUUUUUAAUGUUGCUUAUUAAAUAAUAAAAUAUAUUAUCAAUAUAUUAAAUACUAACCCAUAUAUUUAAUGUAAACAUACUUUUUCAUAAUAUAAACAUGUUUUCUCAUAAUACAAUUAAUAUAAAAUACUUUUCAAUAAAAAAAUUGUAAUUUAUUAAAUUUUAUUGUUUGCUAAUAAAUUAAACAUUAAUCACUAUAAUUAAGGAUUUAAUUUGUGGUCAAGUCAUAUGUUAUAAGAAUAUGAUGCAAAAAUAUAAUUAUAAGAGAGAAAAAUUAUACUUAAUAAUAUGUUUAAAAAUUCUUUAAAAAGACAAUAUUCUUUUGAACAUCUAAGUCCAAUAAAUAAAUCCAUUUAAAACCUCAAACAAAACUAGUUGCUUUUAAAUUCUAAAUAAAACUUUUAUUAUACUUUUACAUAUUCUUUAAUUAAAUAAAAAAUAAAAAACCCUAAAUUUAAUUUCAGUGUUAGCCUCUCACAAAUUGAUUAUUUACUAUUGUUGUUAAAAUUUCUAAGAAUUCAAGCGUUGAUCUCUUUUUUGCGUACUGUGUUCUUUUUUCGAUUAUUAUUGUAACACCCUUAUACCUGGUUCGACCCAAAGAACCUGAUAUAGAAAUAUUACAUUUUGUGUCAAAGUGACUUUGGCUAAUCACUAAUAAAUUUGGACAUAAAAAAUACAUUUUUUACUAAAUUAAUUCAAUAUUAUCAUUCUCAAUGUUCAGGGACAUUACCGGAUAUUUUACUAUGUCUGGAAAUGUUUAAAAAUAGACUUUUGCACAAAACAGGGGCAAAGUAUCGAUACUUUUCCUUCAUUAUCGGUACCAACCUAAAAAUCGAUAUCAAAAGUGCAUUCUGUUUUGGAAUUUUUCAAAACCAAGCUCUAGGUAUCGAUACCUUACCCUUAGGUAUCGAUACUUUAGGUAAAUUUUUAAACAAAAUACUUGGAAAAAUUGCUAAAGACCCCUUGCAUUGUUUUUAAGUCAUUUCAAAGUUUAAAACCAAUUCAAACAAUCCCAAAUCAACCUUAUUUAACAUAUAUCCUAUCAAUUAUGCAUCUAUGCAUUUAGAUUUUUAAUAAUCAAUGCAAAUAUCAACAAAGUUCUUCUUUAGACUCUAAAAUAAGUAAAAUUUUCAUAACUUAUAUUUUAGUCUCUACUACUUGGAACACAUUUGAUCUUUCUAAUUACAUACCAUUCUAUUCCAAAUUAUGAAACAUAACCUCUUGGCACUUGGAGAUGUGAUGAGAUGGAUGCCCACGACCUCAACUAUGACCCUUCAAAAUCAUUAUACCUACGCGUUGAAAAUAAACGCGUUAAGUCGGUGAAGACUUAGUAAGUACCCAUGAUAUUCAAAUUUUAUUAAAUUACUUAAUUCCCAAUAUCUCGUUUCUUUGUUUAUUUAUUGUCGAAACCAUUUUUUGAAAACAAAAAAUUUAGGUUGUCGACUCUAAAAAAAUGAAAAUUUGGGAGUCGCCACCAAUCUUUUAUUGAGGUGUGAUUGGAUCUCCUAAAAAAAUGGCUUUGGUCUACGAGUUUUAGAAAAACGGAUCCGGGAGUCAGUUACGUACGAGGAAGGAUUAGCACCCUCGUAACGCCCAAAAUUGGUACCUAGUUAAUUAAUUAGUAUCUUAAGGUCGAGAAUUUGGAAAAAAACGUAAUCCUUAGCAAAACUUAAAAGGCUACGUAUUAAGACCCUUAUUAUUUCAGAGAAAGAAGAUACCACACCCAAUGCGUUAGGGCACAACAUUCUAAUUUUCCCCAAAAUGAAUUGGGCCAAAAUACUUGUACAAUAAAACUUUAAAAGAACAUCCACUAAUCCAAGAUUUAAGAAAUCACAGCCAAUACGUUAGUGCACGAUUCCUCUAGAAUCCCAAACUCGGAAUAUUUCCUUUACUUUAAAAGAACAUCCACUUAUCCAAGAUUUAAGAAAUCAUACACAAUACGUUAGGGCACAAUUCCUUUAAAAUCCCAAACUCGGAAUAUUUUCUUUAUUAUUUUUUAAAAAAAUCUUCAUUUCGAGAUAUCAAUGCGUCACAUCCAAUACGUUAGGACACAACGUGUUGAAUUCCCAAUAAUGAGUUUUUAUUUUUUAUUUUUGAUUGAAGAGAAAUGCUCGAUUUUCAGAUUUAACGAAGAAAAUCGGAACCCAAUACGUUAGGGCUCAAUUCCCUUGAAAAUCCUAAAUACGAACAUUAUCUCAAUUUUUUAAAAAAAUUCUAUCUUUAAAUUUGAGUAAAAAAUGAUGUAACAUGAUUUUAUACAUACAAAUGCUAUAAUAAUAACAAUAAUAAAUACAUCAUCGACAUAAAAUAAUAUAAGCAAAUGAAUAAAACGAAAUAAAAAAGGGUAAUCCAUGACAUGCAAAAUAUUAAAUGUAAACACAAUUAUACAAUGGAUGGGAUAGCAAACAAAUAAAUAAGGAUCAAAAGAUGUACACAUGGAAAUUAUGAAGAUUAAAAAUAUACAUAUAAUUUACAAAUAAAAUUUUAGGUUAUAGAAUUUAUAUAUAAAUACAACACAUCAUAUACUUAUGAAAAUAAGGAAAAAAUAAGUAUAUUUUAAAAAAGGAAAAAAAUGUGCGUAUUUAAUCACUUAAAAACGUAAAUAUAUACAUAUAUAUAUGAAAAUAUUCAUUUAAAAAAAAGGAAAAUAUUCGUUUUUAAAAAAUAUAUAUAUGUGUACAUAUAAAAGGAAUAUAUAUAAAUAAAAAAAUUAGAAUAAAAAUAAUAAUUACACUAUUAAUUAAUAAAAUAAAUAAAAAGAACAUAAAAAACUAAAUUGAAUUGCAAUUAAAAAAUCUGGGGUAAAUCCACAAAUAAAUAAAAGUAAAAGGACUAAUUUGAACGUACGAGUUACAUAGAGGGGCUGGAAGGGAAAUUUUCCCUUCUCCUCUAAAAUGGCGUCGUUCAAAAGGAUUAAAUUGGAAUUUAAAAUAAAUAAAAGGGUAAAUUAAGAAAAUAAAAAAAAACUUAAUUACAAAAACAUUAAAAGGCGGAGGGGCUAAAUAAAAAUAGAAUAAAAUUCGCAGUGGUAUCACCUUCUCCUUUUUUUUUAAAAUCGUAAAUAAGUAAAAAAUAAUCGAACGAAAAAAAUAGUAAGCCACAUUUAAAAAACUGCCAAUCGUUCUCUUUUUUUUUAUUAUUUCUCCUCACUCCCUUUUCUCUUUUUUUUAUUACAAUGAAGGGAGAGGCCUCUAUUUAUAGCCGAGCCUCCCCAAAUCCAACUGUACAGAUCAGUUACAUCAACGGCUGAGAUUAAAGGGUAUCUACAAAUUAAAUCUCUAAGAUUACAAAAUCAUAUAUUCUAAGAUUGCAUAUUUCAUAUCUUGGAUUGCAUAUCAUAUCUAAGAUUGCAUAUCCUCAAAAAUUAUGUUUCCAUAUGUGAGCUCGGGCUAAAAUUGGGUAUUACAGCUGCCCCUAUUUGCUCGUUCUUGUGUAACAGGGACGAAGCAAAGACUUUAAAAAUGCCCGAUUUUGUCCGGUCCUGCUGGAUCUUGGUACUCUUCUUCUUUAAGUAGCCUCAUUCCUUCCUACUGCAUCUUCAGAGGUAUAGGAAUUAGUGCUUCAAUCUACUCCACUGCAACUUCAGGGAGAUAAGACUUGCCAUCUUCAGUCUGCCUCACUGCAACUUCAGGAGGAUAAGACUUGCUUCCUUAGUCUGCUCCACUGCAACUUCAGGGAGAUAAGACUAGAUGCGAUCUGCUCUCUGCAACUUCAGAGAGAUAAGAUCUAUGAUUUUAAUCCGCUCUACUGCAACUUCAGGGAGAUAGGAUUAUCGGCUUUAUUCUGCUCCACUGCAACUUCAGGGAGAUAAGAUUUGUCAUUUUCAGUCUGCUUCAUUGUAACUUCAGGAGGAUAAGACUUGCUUACUUAGUCUUGUCUACCGCAACUUUAGGGAGAUAAGACUAGAUGCGAUCUGCUCUCUGUAACUUCAAAGAGAUAAGAUCUGUAAUUUUAAUCCGCUCCACUACAACUUCAGGGAGAUAGGAUUACCGGCUUUAAUCUGCUCUAUUGCAACUUCAGGAAGAUAAGAUUUGCCAUCUUCAGUCUGCCUCACUGUAACUUCAGGAGGAUAAGACUUGCUUACUUAGUCUGCUCCACUGCAACUUCAGGGAGAUAAGACUAGAUGCGAUCUGCUCUCUGUAACUUCAGAGAGAUAAGAUCUGUAAUUUUAAUCCGCUCCACUGUAACUUCAGGGAGAUAGGAUUGUCGGCUUUAAUCUGCUCCACUGCAACUUCAGGAAGAUAAGAUUUGCCAUCUUCAGUCUGCCUCACUGUAACUUUAGAAGGAUAAGACUUGCUUACUUAGUCUGCUCCACUGCAACUUCAAGGAGAUAAGACUAGAUGCGAUCUGCUCUCUGCAACUUCAGAGAGAUAAGAUCUGUGAUUUUAAUCCGCUCCACUGCAACUUCAGGGAGAUAGGAUUGUCGACUUUAAUCUGCUUCCCACUAUCUUGGAAAGAUAUGAUUUGUCGUCUUCGAUCUGCUCCACUACUGCUUAGGGAGAUAAGAUCUACAAUCUUCAACCUACUCCGCUGCUGCUCAGGGAAACAGGGCUUGGUGGCUUAAAUCUGCUUCCCACUAUCUUGGAAAGAUAAGAUUUGUCGUCUUCGAUCUGCUCCACUACUGCUUAGGGAGAGAAGAUCUACAAUUUUCAACCUUCUCUGCUGCUGCUCAGGGAGACAAGGCUUGGUGGCUUAAAUCUGCUUCCCACUAUCUUGGAAAUAUAAGAUUCGUCGUCUUCGAUCUGCUCCACUACUGCUUAGGGAGAUAAGAUCUACAAUUUUCAACCUUCUCAGCUGCUGCUCAGGGAGACAAGGCUUGGUGGCUUAAAUCUGCUUCCCACUAUCUUAGAAAGAUAAGAUUCGCUGUCUUCGAUCUGCUCCACUACUGCUUAGGGAGAUAAGAUCUACAAUCUUCAACCUUCUCCGCUGCUGCACAGGGAGACAAGGCUUGGUGGCUUAAAUCUGCUUCCCACUAUCUUGGAAAGAUAAGAUUCGCCGUCUUCGAUCUGCUUCACUACUGUUUAGGGAGAUAAGAUCUACAAUUUCACUGAUUUGUUCUCUAGGAAACAUGACCUGUAUAAUGAACCUAUAUUAUGCCUAAGAUUAGGAUGGCAUGAUCCAAAUGCGUCAAAUGCUCCUAACUAGACAUGUGCGAAUGAUGUUUGCAUGAAUGUUUUUUUAAGAGAAUGAUCCCACCUGGGUUGUCAUUGUUCGAAGGUUAUUAAGGCUUUAACACUGACGUGCUACAACGCUUUCUUGCUUGGCUGGCUUUUCUGAAGAAAUAUUUAUUCAGGUUGCCCCCACUGUAAACCUCAAAGUUUAAUCCAUUGGGGCGCAAAAAUUCAUACUAUUGUUCUCCCACUGUAACCCAAGGGUAUGUGGCUUUUCUUCAAUCCUCUCCUAUCACAACUCAAGGAUACAGGAUCUAAAUCUUUCUGGUCUCUUACACCAUUCCUAGGGUGUCGUACCAAAGGCUCAUGCAUAAAUGAAGGCUCUCUUCCCUGAGGUAACCUCUUUCUAUUGCUCGGUGAUCAUUACUUUGUCACCCACCUGACGUCUUUUCAUUUUGUUCGAUCAAUGUUUUUUGACAACAAAAUCCAAAGAAAUAGUCUUCAUUUAGACUCUGCCUUCUCAGAUUUCUAACCUUUUUAAAACUUAGUGCGUUCUAAACAAUAGUCCUGUUUCAGGUUCCUGUAUUAUUUAGAAACUUCUAAACUAAUAUGCAAAACCUCCAUUGUGAAAGUUUUAUUAGUCCAUUAAUCAUUAUUCCAAUGCAACAUGUUUGCUAAAAGGGUAUAAUAAUAGAUGAGAAUACAAUUGGUUUUGAACAUAGCUCGAAAGGAAUAAAUUAUCAACAAAAGUAUAUAAGGAUAGCAAAGAAAUUGAUUGGGAAUGUGUAUCUUGGAAAAGAAUGAAGUAUUCCAAGAAUAACAAAUUCAAUAUAAAAAAAUUGGAUGCCCCAGAUAUCGUAGCUUGAACUUCUCUGUACAAACUUUCUGAAGACCCUCCUGAGUUUGACAUGUGUUUGAGAGAUCUACAGUACUCUGUCGAUGCCUCAAGAUGUCGUCUACCCUUUCCUGUUGAUUCAAGUAUAGCAAGAUCAUCAUAUGCCCCAAUCUAAUCAAAAUUUAAACUGCUCUGAUCACCUCAUGCCCCAUUUUGAUUAAUAUUUGAGCCGUCCUUUUUGGGUUUUCAACUCAAAUCCCCUUUGGUCUCAAGGCGUCCUUUGCAGAUUUUCACAUUGGCCUCUCAUUUUACUUUUUCUUUUUUCCUUUUCUUUUUCCUCUUUUUUUUUGAAAUAUUUUUUGAUUGAAUUUGAACUCAUAGGAUUAGGCAUGUCCUUAUUAUCCCUUCUGAUCGACGCUUUUCCAGAUAAGGCCCUCAAUAUAAGGUCCUUCUAAACUUGGAUAAAAUUCUUUUUGUAUGGGAAAGAUCCUCUUCAAUACCAGGUCCCUCUCAAGGAGUUCUCUAGUGCGGACCUUUUUUUGUGAGCUCGCAUCAUUUUCUUUUGGCGCAUUUGACCAUGAUGGAUAACUUUGAACAUUCCUCUUCAAUUAGAUCUUAAAACUCAGAGUGAAAGAAUCUUACCUUCAAUAGGCAAAACCACGAUAGGCCCAAGAGAAAGUCAUUGCCCCGGUAGAGUUCUUUUUUUUUGCUAUCUUUUCUUUGGGCAAUAUAGCAUUAAUCGUGAACAGACUGCAAACUUUUGAUAUUGUGUUGUUGUUCAAAUUUAGUACAUUGUCAGAUAUGAUCCUUUUGGCGUUCUAUAUGAUUCUUCAAGAAUUGACAUACGAAGCAGCUUCCACAUAUUUAGUAAAGUAAUUGACGAUCACAAAGAUGAAUUGAUUACCGUCAGACUCUUUUGGCGAGAUCGACCAAAUGACCUCCAUGCCCCACAUAAGGAGAAGUCAUGUACCCUGAUAAUUCUUUGUAGGGUGAGAUCCAUUUUCUGACUUGUUCUACCAUCCUUAAUAGGUCCAGAAAUAGGCUACGAUCUAUGACAUCUUCAAAGUUAUGAGAUCCCUCUAAACACAUGUCUCGCUCAGAAGGAGAUUCUGAGUCAGUAGCAGCGUCACUCAUGUCAUUGAUAUAUGAGGACCCAUAGUAAUUGCAAAAGAAUAUACAAAAGAAUGUGUGAAUUUACGAAUGAUUAUUUAUACAAUAUAAUUAUGAACGAAAGAACGAUAUGAAAGAAAAUCCAAAAGAAUGAAAGAAUAAUUACUCGCAAAGAAUGAAAACAUAUUGGCUUAAAUGCAAAGAUGUAUGUUAUUAGAAUAAUGAUGUUCAGACAUGAGCCUAUUUCACAAAGGAAUUCCUAUCGUUUUUAGGCUAAAAGCAACAAGAAUGUUCUGAACAUUACUCUAAACAAGCUCUAAAGACUACAGAGAUUUCUUCCACAAUCCAAUUACUUAUAACACUCCCAAAUUUUAUAAGGGCAGACAUCUAACAAGGUCCCUUUUCAAUUGUGUCUCCGUAUGUGAACUCUUCUCAACACCUCUUCAUAUAUUGCAUUCAUACCAUUAUCAAUCAUGAUUGGGUAGCGAAUUUCCUGCAUUAGAUGAGUCAUCCAACUUGACAAUACCCAUGUUGAUGAAUUUUUCAACUAGCUUUUUGAAGGCAAUGCAAUUCUCUAUUGAGUGCCCCGUAAUUCCCGCAUGAUAAUCGCAUUGUGCACCUGUGUCGUACCAUUUGGGAUACGGGGGCUGUGGAGGUUUCACAUGUAAAGGAGCAACAACAUGCGUAUUGAAUAAGCUUUGAUACAGCUCCUUGUACGACAUUAAAAUUGGCGUGAACUGGAGCUUUUCAGUACCUGGCUUCACAUAUGAUUCUUGCUUUAAAGGAACUUGAUGGCUGGUGGUUUCUGUCUUUAACCGGCCCACAAUGAUUGGUCUUGAGUGGCCCUUGUUAUAUCUACCUUCAUUUUUCCCCUUAUUCCCUUUCUUCCUUGAGGCUUUUAUAGUAUCUGGGUGCUCUACCUUCACCUGUUUUAUUUCUGAUGAAUUGUCAAGAGCAACAGGAUUGGAUUUUGAGUUUGUCAGGUGAUAUACUAGUGUCGAUGUACCAGUCAGAUAUUGUCAGGAUCUGAUAGUAAAGAGUGCCUCUUGUGGACAUGCGUCUGGUUGGGCUGGACACUUAUCAAGGUAAAAUCUGAAGAAUAUAUAGGGUCCUCAUUAUCAUCCCUAAAGUGAGCCUCUAGGCUUUUCCCUUUACUCAAUAACUAGGUUAGCUGGCUCAUAUUUAUUUGGAAUUCUGGCAUCUGAUUCCUCAUUUCUUGUUAAAAUUCAGUCAAUUGCUCUUGCAUCUGUAUUUGCAUUUGCUUUAUUCUCUCCAAUCUUUAGUCCAUGCCUUCUAACUUUGCUUGGGUACUAUAAUGGUGUUCGGUUGAUUGGUUGGUUUCCAGAUUAACUGAGGAAUGAUGUAAAUUAAUUAGAAUCUUUUAAUGUUUUUAAAUGCAUAUGAAGUAAUGCAAUGCAUGAAUGCAAAAAGACGUCAAUUUUGAUUCAAUUCCAUAUAAGAAAACCUUACUAGAAAGCAAAUUUUUUUACAUAAAGCGAAUUACAAGUAAGACUUUGCCCUAGUACCCAGAACUCUGAUCUUCCUAAGUAACAAAACUAAUUCUUGCCCCCGAUCCGAUUCUAAUUCAUACUUCAUACUCAGCAUGUCAGCCUGUACUGCUAAAAUCUGUACGUAAUCAGCUACUUCUCGAAUCUAGACUACAGCUUCCUUCAUAAGAUAAUCUCUGCUCCUAACUUGACUCUGAAAAUGGUGGAGCUGUUCAUUAUUACUACUUUCGUUUGCGUUCAAGUGCUUGAUCUGGAUCUCACAAUUUUGCAGAACCGUUUCUAGCUCUUCCAAGGAAUGCACUUGUUGUCCCUCUUUUGCUUAACUGGUGCAGCGACCCACUACUCACUCAUCCCUGUUAUACCUAUCAGCUUCUUUGAAAAGGUUGGCACAUUUACCGUUCUCGAGUAAACUCUAUCCACUUGAAACUUUGAACAUCGGAGUAAAGCCACAUAUUUUUCUAUCGUAGGUACCAAAUCGACAUUCCCAAAUGUGAAGCAAUUGUAAGCAGGAUUCCAAAACUGGGCGAGGGCUCGAAACAAAUGUUUGUCUACCUUCACAUCAAGCAAAUAAGGCAAGUCCCCAUAAUUGUCGUAAAAUAACUGCCUAGCCUCAUUAUUCCAUUGAUUCCAAAUUUCUUUCAACUCCUGCAAAUUGUUUUGAGUUACACUGAUGCGAGUAAAAUCUCAUAAUUCCGAUACAUACCCAUCGGCCAGGCUAUCACCCUUUUCUUGCUGUGUUGUUUCAGACCAAGUUCGGACAGCCGCAUUGUCCUCCACUUUAUCAAGAAACCCUUUUUCCAUGUCAAGCUUUCUAUCUAGCAACCGAAUCUGAACUGUCGCCUUUUAUGAUGAAAUGAAAUGCCAUGUCAUGUCAUGUCAUGCAAACAAAAUAAAACACAAAAGGUCAGUGUCAUAUAAUAAUAUAAAAUAUAAUCAAGAAACAGUAAAACACCUAAUCGGAUGUCUACUAGGGUUCAGUAUAGUUCUACCUAGGGUGGAUUCCUAAGGUUCAUUAUAUGAAGUUUUGCUUCUAGGGUAAAGGUACCCGAACCAGCAGAUUCCUCCAUCCUCACCCAUUAUAGGCUCAUAUGGAUCGAGUUCGGUUCAGGGGAAUUCAUUUCCCUAUGGCUGCACGGAGAUGAAAAUCUCACGAAGACAUAGGUACGGAUGUAUCCUGGAAGCAAUCCACAACCCUACACGGAGGUGAAAACCUCACGAAGGCAUAGCUUCUCACUCCCACUUAAAAGGGUAAAAAUGUUCAACUCAUGAAAUGCAUAAUGCAAACAAUAUUUAAGGAAUAUGAUAAUGAAUGCGAAAUGAUGUUAUGAUUUUUUUAAAAAAAUAUUUUUCUCGACCGUAAGACAAAAAUUAAUCAACUUUGUGGCUCGACUCUCUUCUUUUUUUUAAAAAAAAUCUCCCUAGUGGAGUCGCCAAGCUGUCGAAACCAUUUUUUUGAAAACAAAAAAUUUAGGUUGUCGACUCUAAAAAAAUGAAAAUUUGGGAGUCGCCACCAAUCUUUUAUUGAGGUGUGAUUGGAUCACCUAAAAAAAUGGCUUUGGUAUACGAGUUUUAGAAAAACGGAUCCGGGAAUCAGUUACAUACGAGGAAGGAUUAGCACCCUCGUAACGCCCAAAAUUGGUACCUAGUUAAUUAAUUAGUAUCUUAAGGUCGAGAAUUUGGAGAAAAUGUAAUCCUUAGCAAAACUUAAAAGGCUACGUAUUAAGACCCUUAUUAUUUUAGAGAAAGAAGAUACCACACCCAAUUCGUUAGGGCGCAGCAUUCUAAUUUUCCCCAAAAUGAAUUGGGCCAAAAUACUUGUACAAUAAAACUUUAAAAGAACAUCCACUCAUCCAAGAUUUAAGAAAUCACACCCAAUACGUUAGGGCACGAUUCCUCUAGAAUCCCGAACUCGGAAUAUUUCCUUUACUUUAAAAGAACAUCCACUUAUCCAAGAUUUAAGAAAUCACACCCAAUACGUUAAGGCACAAUUCUUAUAAAAUCUCAAACUCGGAAUAUUUCCUUUAUUAUUUUUUAAAAAAAAUCUUCAUUUCGAGAAAUCAGUGCGUCACAUCCAAUACGUUAGGACACAACUUGUUGAAUUCCCAAUAAUGAGUUUUUAUUUUGUUUGAUUGAAGAGAAAUGCUCGAUUGUCAGAUUUAACGAAGAAAAUCGGAACCCAAUACAUUAUGGCUCAAUUCCCUUGAAAAUCCUAAAUACGAACAUUAUCUCAAUUUAAAAAAAAAUUCUAUCUUUAAAUUUCAGUAAAAAAUGAUGUAACGUGAUUUUAUACAUACAAAUGCUAUAAUAAUAAUAACAACAAUAAAUACAUCAUCGACAUAAAAAUAAUAUAAGCAAAUGAAUAAAACGAAAUAAAAAAAGGGUAAUCCAUGACAUGCAAAAUAUUAAAUGUAAACACAAUUAUACAAUGGAUGAGAUAGCAAACAAAUAAAUAAGGAUCAAAAGAUGUACACAUAGAAAUUAUGAAGAUUAAAAAUAUACAUAUAAUUUACAAAUAAAAUUUUUAAUUUAUAUAUAAAUACAACACAUAAUAUACUUAUGAAAAUAAGGAAAAAAAAUAAGUAUAUUUUAAAAAAGGAAAAAAAGGUGCGUAUUUAAUCACUUAAAAACGUAAAUAUAUACAUAUAUAUAUGAAAAUAUUCAUUUUAAAAAAAGGAAAAUAUUCGUUUUUAAAAAAUAUAUAUAUGUGUACAUAUAAAAGGAAUAUAUAUAAAUAAAAAAUUAGAAUAAAAAUAAUAAUUACACUAUUAAUUAAUAAAAUAAAUAAAAAGAACAUAAAAAAACUAAAUUGAAUUGCAAUUAAAAAAUCUGAGGUAAAUCCACAAAUAAAUAAAAGUAAAAGGACUAAUUUGAACGCGCGAGUUAAAAUUGGAAUUUUAAAUAAAUAAAAGGGUAAAUUAAAAAAAUAAAAAAAACUUAAUUACAAAAACAUUAAAAGGCGGAGGGGCUAAAUAAAAAUAGAAUAAAAUUCGCAGUGGUAUCACCUUCUCCUUGUUUUUUAAAAUCGUAAAUAAGUAAAAAAUAAUCGAACGAAAAAAAUAGUAAGCCACCUUUAAAAAACUGCCGAUCGUUCUCUUUUUUUUUUAUUUCUCCUCCCUCCUUUUUCUCUUUUUUUUAUUACAAUGAAGGGAGAUGCCUCUAUUUAUAGCUGAGCCUCCCCAAAUCCAACGGUACAGAUCAGUUACAUCAACGGCUGAGAUUAAAGGGUAUCUACAAAUUAAAUCUCUAAGAUUACAAAAUGAUAUAUUCUAAGAUUGCAUAUCAUAUCUAAGAUUAUAUAUCAUCUCUAAGAUUGCAUAUCAUAUCUAAGAUUGCAUAUAUCAUAUCUUGGAUUGCAUAUCAUAUCUAAGAUUGCAUAUCCUCAAAAAUUAUGUUUCCAUAUGUGAGCCCGGGCUAAAAUUGGGUAUUACAUUUAUCAUAUUACAUCUCAAUUUCUUAUUAUCAUAUUCAUUUGUAACUUUUUACUUAUUUCACAAUUUAGUCCUUAAGUCCUCAAAUCAACCUAUAAAAAGUACUACUCUUUUUAAUACAUGUAUCAUAUUUCACCAUUUAGUGUAAAUUUUCAUAAUUCCAUCACUAUUUCUUCCACCCUUUUUUUUACAUUUUUAACUUACUAGUCAUUGUCUUUCUUAUACUCCCUCAAAUACAUUCAAUUUACUUAUGUCUUCACUUUACUAGUUCAAUAUUUCGAACAUUAAUCGGAGAUAAACCUUUACCUUGUAACGAAAAUUGUUUACCUUUUUAGAGAGGCCCAGUAGACUAAAUAGAACUAUUAGGAUAUACGAAACUGAUACAGAGGUGCACUAAAGUGCACUAAUAGAACAAUAGGCACCAAAGUGCAAAGUAGUAGGCACUGAAGUGCGGAACGAUAAACACCGAAGUGCGAAACGGUAAGCGUUAAAGAGCAAGACAAUAAGCGCGCUAAAAUUUCCUUAAUGGCAUGACAUCUAUAUCCCAAUAGUUCUAAUCUCAUCUACUUGGGCAAAUUAUAUCAUGCACACAUAUCACUUUAACACUUUUACAUAACACAUUUAUAUUUUUUUACAAUUUAGUCCUUGUAACAACAAUCCAUAUACUUAUAUCUUCCACUAUCUUUAAUACAUGUAAUAUAUCUCUAAAUUCAAUAUUCAUCUAUAAUUAACUAAUAAUCCUUAUCAUGUAUUUCACAUAUCACUUUUAUAUAUUUUGUAAUUUAGUCAUUAGCACAAUAUUUCAUGUAACAAUAUAUUUUACUUUUAAUAACACAUAUAACGUAAUUCAAUACUUAUUAAUAUUCCAAAAUUCACUACAACAUCAUUUUUUUUCUCAUUCUAAGUGUUAUGCACUUCACUUCUCUAUUUCUAAUAUAAUUUUUUUCAAAUUUACGAUUUAACCCUUAAUUUCCACAACUUAGGAAAUAAUUGUAGUUUGGAUUACAAAAUUCAUAUAUUAUUUUUUUACUAUGUGCUUUAUUAUCAAUAUUUUCUUGCAAACCUUUAUAAUUUUCCAAUUUUGUAACACCCCUUACCCGUAUUCAACACUAGAAUAGGGUACGAGGCAUUACCAGAACACAAACGCUUGUAAACGUAUUUAACCGUAUUAUAAAAUUUCAUCUAAAUUAAAACUUUCAAAUUUUUUUAACAUGCUUUUAUAAUUCUUCACAAUAUAUCCUCAAAAUAUUAUAUUCAUAAUAAAUAGGGCUUACGAGACCCGAUACAUACCUAUGCAAUUCAAUGCGUCAUUUCCAUUUCAUUCAGUUCACAAUUUCUCAUGCUCACAAUUCAAAUCAUAUCACUAGCAAUUUCUAUUUAAUUCACGUACAAUUCAAUAUUAGUAAGUUCAAUACUAAUACGUAUUUACCAUUUUACUUAACGUUUUUCGAUUAUACCAUUCAUUAACACAUUUAUGAAAUUCUCAAUUUUGCAAUGAAAAUAUCACUUUAUCUUAAAUAACAACAUCAAUUCAACUCAUCAUCCCCUUUUUCGUCAUUUUUCACUUCAAAUAUGAACUUACUAUUUCAUUACCUUUCCACACCCAUUUCCUAUGCAUAUCACAUAAGACAUAAACAUAUCGUUCAACCAUAGUCGCAAGCUAGUACAUUUAAGCAUAAUUCUUUUUGGAACUAACCACAUGAUAAACCAUUUCACUAGAGAUUACAUAAUUUAAACCUUACCACCCCUGUCAUGAUCACAAGCAUAUUCCCAUUUAGGCACUUACCAUUUCAAUGCAUAACUUAUAAGCUUAACGUGGCAUAAUCCAACCACAACUUGGUCAAAGCCUAAGCAUGUACAUCAAAUAUGUUAACCAAAUAAACAUAUAGCAUAAGCAUUAUGAGCAUGGAUGAGCACAACAUUUAUUAAUGUAUCAAACUUACCAACAUGUGUUAAUUCAUAAACCAUUCAUGACACUACUUCAAGCUAAAUCAUAUUCCAAAUAUACCAUACACACAUACUAUGAAACUUUAUUUUCCCACAUGAGCUUAAAUCAUGACCAAUAAUGCGCAAAUAUAAGCAUUAUUUCUAUUUCAUCGUUUAUCAAUUAUAAUCGAGCAUAUUACCAAUUAUACACAAAUCAUUCAUAUAUUUCCCAAUUUUCCUCCUCCUCCUUUCCAUUCCACAUCCUUAAUGUGUAUAACACACUUAAACAACAUUAUCCAUACUUUCACUAUUUUUUUGUAUGUAAAUUCAAACUAUCUGUCUGAGUCUGAGUCACUAAUUUAUUUAUAUCUCGAGCUACCGAUCUCCAAAUUAAGAUCCGUUAAUUUUUCCUGAAACUACACUCAUAUACUUCUUACCAUAAAAUUUUUAUAAUUUUUUUUCUUAGCCAAUAAAUAUAUUUUAUUCUUUAAAAUUUCCCUUGUUUCACUGCUCGAUAGUUUUGACAUUUCUUCACUAAAAAUUAAUUAUUUCAUAGUACAGAAUUCAGAUAAUAUUCUCGUUUGUUUCUUUUGAAAAUAGACUCAUUCAUAAUUCUAAAAAUAUAAAUUUUAUCCCAUAAUUAUUUUUUUAAAAUUUUUAAUUAUUUUCCAAAGUCAGAAUAGGGGAUUCCAAAAUCAUUCUAGCUCUAUCUCACUAAAAUUCAAAUAUCUCAUAAUACAAAACUCGUUUGCUUUCUAUAUAUAUUUUAUGUGAAAAUAGACUUCUUCAGAUUUAAUUUCAUAUCUUAUUCACUCUCUAAUUAGAUUUCCACCAUUUUUGGUGAUUUUUCAAAGUCACACAACUGAUGCUGUCCAAAACUGUUUUGUUGCUAAAUUUACUCUUUCAUAAUUUCACUUACUCCAUUGCAUCUUACCGAUGGUUUGAUCAAAUAUCGAGCACAUUUUUCAUAAAUUUUCACACUUAUACCUACAAUCAUUCAUCACAUAGUCAUAUUUAAUUACAAUUAGUCGUUACUUGAUCUCAUGUAUUUUCACUUAGUCAAUUUCCCGAUAAACACUUUGGAAUAAUAACAGAUACAUGGUGGAUCAGCACAUAGCACCACCCUUAUAGUCAAUGAUACUCGGUGGAUUCAGCACAUAGCAACCACCUUCAUAAUCAAUAGUACCAGGUGGAAUCAACACACAACAACCACAUUUAUAAUCAAUGGUACCCGGUACACGUAGUAGCCUGCAUAUAGUACUACACACGUGACCAUUACUAUCUCUUUCACAUAGUGUUCGGCACACAGCCCGUGCCACACAUGUGAUCAUUAUUUUCACUUCAUUCGUAUAUUUUCUAUUCCGGAGGUUCAACUGGGAAAUUUCUCACUUUUAAUAACACAUUUAACUUACUUAACACUCACAUUAUUCAAUUUAGUCCAAAAAUCACAUUUUUGCCAAAAAUACAUUUUUCCCCUAAAGUUUCACAAAAUUACAAUUUUGCCCCUAGGCUCGUAAAAUAAUUUUUAUUCAAUUUCCUUGCAUUUUAGUCCUAGACAAACCAUUUUAAUAACUAUAUCAGUCUACAAUUCUCACUUAUUCGCACACUUGUGACAUAUUUUAUAACUUUUACAAAUUAACUCUUUUAGGCAUUUUCAUCGGAAAUCACUUAGUAAAAGACAUUCAUCACACUCCAAACAUUCAUAUUCUUCCAUAAAACAUCAAAAUACAUGCAUAUCAUUCAUAGAUAAAUUUUUAAACACAAACCCUAGUUCAAAAUAAUGGUAAAACUAGGUAAAUCUUGUUACGAGGAUUUCAAAAACGUAAAAAUCAUUAAAAAAAGGGCUAGAACAGACUUAUAAUCGAAAUGAGAUAACCAUGAGUUGAGAGAUGUGAAAACGUAGAAUAAAAUGAAAGUUUAUAUGGUGAUAAGCCCAUCCGUGUUUGCUUGGCGUGCAUUUGAUGUUAUGUGCUCAACAUAUUUGAUUAAGUAAAUAUGGUAAGCAAAUAUACACAAAUAGAUGGAAUGUGUGUUUAUGUGCACUUGCUUGAAUAAGUGUAAUCAGUAUAUUUAUAUGAUAGAAUCUUAUGUCUAAUUUUUAAAUUAGAAAUAAUAUGGUGUUUUGUUUUAUGUCUUUAUUGUUGAACCAUGAAUAUUAUAAUAGUAUGAAAAUUGAAUUGGAAGAUCAAAUUGAGUAGAACGCGGGAAUGAGUACUUUUGUUUAGUGAUAUGUGAUGAAUUGACAGAAAAUAUCAUGGUUUGACCAUUGCAACAUGUAAAAAUGUGAUUAUGUGUUUCCGUGUAAGACCAUAGCUGGGCUAUGGCUUCGGUGUGUGAUAUGUGGCGAUGUGUAAGACCAUAGUUAUACUAUGGCAAUGUGAAAACAAAAUACUCAAUUUUGUAAGACGUUCUCUAAUUUGACAAAUAUCGGUAAGUAAAAUGGAAGCCAAGUAUUGGAAUUUAAUUAGAUAUUAAUAUUGAGCUCGAGCAAGUAAAUCCAUUGUGUGAAAUUGUGGGUGAAAGAAAAUAAUGGUAAAAAUAGGUAAAUCUUGUUACGAAGAUUUCAAAAACGUAAAAAAUUAUUAAAAACGAGGCUAGAACGGACUUACAAUCGAACUUGGAAGCUUGAAAAACUCUAGCCAUGGUUUCUCCAUGCAAUUUUCGGCCUAGGGGUUGAAGAUGGACAAAAAUUGGCUUUUAAUUUUGUUUUUAAUUCAUUUUAAUAACUAAAUGACCAAAAUGCCCUUAAUGAAAAACUUUGGAAACAUGCCUAACCAUGUCCAUUUUUGUCCACCAACUUAACCAAUGGUCUAAUUACCAUAUAAGGACCUCCAAUUUAAAAUUUCAUAACUAUUGGACCAUGAAUAUUAUAAUAGUAUGAAAAUUGAAUUGGAAGAUCAAAUUGAGUAGAACGCAGUAAUGAGUAUUUUCGUUUAGUGAUAUGUGAUGAAUUGACGGAAAAGACCAUGGUUUGACCAUGGCAACAUGUAAAAAUGUGAUUAUGUGUUUUCGUGUAAGACCAUAGCUGGGCUAUGGCUUCGAUGUGUGAUAUGUGGCGAUGUGCAAGACCAUAGUUAUACUAUGGCAAUGUAAAAACAAAGUACUCAAUUUUGUAAGACGUUCUCUAAUUUGACAAAUAUUGGUAAGUAAAAUGGAAGCCUAGUAUUGGAAUUUAAUUAGAUAUUAAUAUUGAGCUCGAGUAAGUAAAUCCAUUGUGUGAAAUUGUAGGUGACAGAAAACAUUCGUAAGAAAUAGAUGUGUUAAUUUGCUUGGAAUGAACUAUGUGGUUAUGAUGGUAUUACAUUGAUAAUCAAUGCUAAGUCAUAUAUAUAUAUGUAUUUAUGUGAGUAAGUCAGAUGCUUUACGACCUCACCAUCACCCUCCUUAUCAGUAUUGCUUUAUGAUGAAAUUUUUAUGAGAAUCAUGUUGAAUAAGCUCAUAAAUGUGAACUGAAGAGUUCAGUGGUCAAAUAAUUAGUAAAGUAAACAGAGUUAAGUAUAGUGUAACAAAUGAACUUGGUAAAAAUAGGUAAAUCUUGUUAUAAGGAUUUCAAAAAUGUAAAAAUCAUUAAAAAAUAAGCUAGAACGGACUUACAAUCGAACUUGGAAUCUUGAAAAACCCUAGCCAUGGUUUCUCCAUGCAAUUUUCGGCCUAGGGGUUGAAGAUGGACAAAAAUUGGCUUUUAAUUUUGUUUUUAAUUCAUUUUAAUAACUAAAUGACCAAAAUGCCCUUAAUGACAAACUUUGAAAACAUGCCUAACUAUAUCCAUUUUUGCCCACCAACUUAACCUAUGGUCUAAUUACCAUAUAAGGACCUCCAAUUUAAAAUUUCAUAACAAUUGGACACCUCUAACAUGUAGAUCUUAACUUUUAUACUUUUUACAAUUUAAUCAUUUUGACUAAAUUGAGUGCCCAAACGUUAAAAUUUUCAAACGAAAUUUUCACGAAAUCAUUUUGUGAAAUAGUAGACCAUAAAAAUAUAAUAAAAAUAAAUUUUAUUCUCGUCAGAUUUGUGGUCCCGAAACCACUGUUAUGACUAGGCCUAAAAUCGGGCUGUUACAACUCUCUCCCCUUUAGGGAUUUUCGUCCUCGAAAAUCUUACCAGAAGAAAUUACUUCCAACUCUCAUAAAACACUUCACUAACUUUCCAAAAUCACUAAUCAAUUUAAUCUUGUAUGUCUCUUUUCAAUAAAUAUAUCUCUAAGGAUAAAAGAAUAUAUAUAUAUAGAAUAUCCAAAAAAGAUCAUCGUGUUCAUUUCGAUUAUAAUUGUCACACACAGGCAUCUUUACCACUUAAUUAUCAUUUCUCUAACUAAUUCUAUUAUCACGAAUCUCACAUUAUUCCAUUCACUAAUAAAAAUCAAUUCAGAAGAAUUUUCAGUUAAUACAUGCAUUCUUUAGGUAUCAUACCUGAAUAUUUUGUCUCAUCAAAUUUAACUUCUUCUUUAACAGUGGCAUUACAUAAUAUGUAUAAUCUUUAAAAUAAUCUGAUAUUUCUUUUAAAACUGAGUUCAUUUGUUACACUAUACUCAACUCUGUUUACAUUACUAAUUAUUUGACCACUGAACUCUUCAGUUCACAUUUAUGAGUUAUUCAACAUGAUUCUCGUAAAAAUUUCAUCAUAAAGCAAUACUGAUAAAGGGUGAUGGUGAGGUCGUAAAGCCUCUGACUUACUCACAUAAAUACAUAUAUAUAUAUGACUUAGCAUUCAUUAUCAAUGUAAUACCAUCAUAACCACACAGUUCAUUCCAAACAAAUUAACACAUCUAUUUAUUACGAAUGUUUUAUGUCACCCACAAUUUCACACAAUGGAUUUACUUAUUCGAGCUCAAUAUUAAUAUCUAAUUAAAUUCCAAUACUUGGCUUCCAUUUUACUUACCGAUAUUUGUCAAAUUAGAAAACAUCUUACACAAUUGAGUACUUCGUUUUCAUAUUGCCAUAGUAUAACUAUGGUCUUGCACAUCGCCACAUAUCACACACCGAAGCCAUAGCCCAGCUAUGGUCUUACAUGAAAACACAUAAUCACAUUUUUACAUGUUGCCAUGAUCAAACCAUGGUCUUUUUCGUCAAUUUAUCACAUAUCACUGAACAAAAGUACUCAUUCCUGCGUUCUACUCAAUUUGAUCUUCCAAUUCAAUUUUCAUACUAUUAUAAUAUUCAUGGUUCAAUAAUAAAGAUAUAAAACAAAACACCAUAUUAUUUCUAAUUUAACAAUUAGACAUAAGAUUCUAUCAUAUAAAUAUACUGAUUACACUUAUUCAAGCAAGUGUACAUAAACACACAUUCCAUCUAUUUGUGUAUAUUUGCUUACCAUAUUUACUUAAUCAAAUAUGUUGAGCACAUAACAUCAAAUGCAUGCCAAGCAAACAGGGAUGGGCUUAUCACCAUAUAAACUUUCAUUUUAUUCUACGUUUUCACAUCUCUCAACUCACAGUUAUCUCAUUUCGUACAUUAAAACAUACUUAUCAUGAACUUCUAUUCAUACCUUUCUAAAUUUCAUUUAUUCAAUAACACAUUUCAAUCGCCUCAAUAUAAAUUUUCAGCAUUAUUGGAAACAAUUCGGUUAGAAGUCAUCUCUGUCUUAACAAAUCAAUUUCAUUAGAGCCGAAAAAUAUUACACUAUCACGAGUAAUAAUAUGACAUGUAUAGCUAAACUCACAUACGCUAUGUUAGUCCGAGAACCGACUAAACCAUAGCUCUGAUACCACUAAAUAUAACACCCCUUACCCGUAUUCGACACCCGAAGAGGGUACGAGGCAUUACUAGAACACAAACGCUUGUAAACGUAUUUAACCGUGUUAUAAAAUUUCAUCUAAAUUAAAACUUUCAAAUUUUUUUAACAUGCUUUUAUAAUUCUUCACAAUAUAUCCUCAAAAUAUUAUAUUCAUAAUAAAUAGGGCCUACGAGACCCGAGACAUACCUAUGCAAUUCAAUGCUUCAUUUACAUUUCAUUCAGUUCACAAUUUCUCAUGCUCACAAUUCAAAUCAUAUCACUAGCAAUUUCCAUUUAAUUCACGUACAAUUCAAUAUUAGUAAGUUCAAUACUAAUACGUAUUUACUAUUUAACUCAACUUUUUUUUGUCAUGGUCAAACCAUUACUAUCUCUUUCACAUAGUGAUCAUUAUUGUCACUUCACUCGUAUCUUUUCUAUUCCGGAGGUUUAACCGGGAAAUUUCUCACUUUUUUUUCACUGAUCAAAGUCGAUUUCUCGUCUUUCUUGAUUUAUAAUAACACAUUUAACUUACUUAACACUCACAUUAUUCAAUUUAGUCCAAACAUCACAUUUUGGCAAAAAUGUAGUUUCACAAAAUUACAAUUUUGGCGUGCAUUUGAUGUUAUGUGCUCAACAUAUUUAAUUAAGUAAAUAUGGUAAGCAAAUAUACACAAAUAGAUGGAAUGUGUGUUUAUGUACACUUGCUUGAACAAGUGUAAUCAGUAUAUUUAUAUGAUAGAAUCUUAUGUCUAAUUGUUAAAUUAGAAAUAAUAUGGUGUUUUAUUUUAUGUCUUUAUUAUUGAACCAUGAAUAUUAUAAUAGUAUGAAAUUUGAAUUGGAAGAUCAAAUUGAGUAGAACACAGGAAUGAGUACUUUCGUUUAGUGAUAUAUGAUGAAUUGACGGAAAAGACCAUGGUUUGACCAUGACAACAUGUAAAAAUGUGAUUAUGUGUUUCUGUGUAAGACCAUAGCUGGGCUAUGGCUUCGGUGUGUGAUAUGUGGCGAUGUGUAAGACCACAGUUAUACUAUGGCAAUGUGAAAACGAAGUACUCAAUUCUGUAAGACGUUCUCUAAUUUGACAAAUACCGGUAAGUAAAAUGGACGCCAAGUAUUGGAAUUUAAUUAGAUAUUAAUAUUGAGCUCAAGUAAGUAAAUCCAUUGUGUGAAAUUGUGGGUGACAGAAAAUAAUGGUAAAAAUAGGUAAAUCUUGUUACGAGGAUUUCAAAAACGUAAAAAAUUAUUAAAAACGAGGCUAGAACGGACUUACAAUCGAACUUGGAGGCUUGAAAACCCCUAGCCAUGGUUUCUUCAUGCAAUUUUUGGCCUAGGGGUUGAAGAUGGACAAAAAUUGGCUUUUAAUUUUGUUUUUAAUUCAUUUUAAUAACUAAAUGACCAAAAUGCCCUUAAUGAAAAACUUUGGAAACAUGCCUAACCAUGUCCAUUUUUGUCCACCAACUUAACAAAUGGUCUAAUUACCAUAUAAGGACCUCCAAUUUAAAACUUCAUAACAAUUGGACACCUCUAACAUGUAGAUCUCAAAUUUUUCACUUUUUACAAUUUAGUCCUUUUGACUAAAUUGAGUGCUCAAACAUCGAAAUUUUCGAACGAAAUUUUCACGAAAUCAUUUUGUGAAAUCUGAGAUCAUAAAAUUAUAAUAAAAAUAAAUUUUAUCCUCAUCGAAUUUGUGUUCCCGAAACCACUGUUCCGACUAGGCCCAAAAUCGGGCUGUUACAAAUUUAAUCACCUUUUAUGAUAAAAGUUGUCUAUUCAUUAUUAAAUAAAAUUUUUUUCACAUCUCACUUAUUUCACACAAUUAAUUACACUAUCUCAUUUUCCACAUUAAAUUUCUAUGUAUUUCACUUGUAUUAUUUCCACCACAUGUAUUUCUCAAGUCCUUUAAUUUAAUCCUUGUUUCCAUAAAAUUUCACAUUUUCCCAUAAUUUUACUUAUCUAAUACUUUGUAUAUAUAUAUUUGCUAUUACAUAACCCAACUAUUAUUCUUUUAUUAUAAUUUUCUACUUCACAUAAUAAAUUAUUUCACACUAUUUUUUUACUUAAUUACUACUUAGCUUACAAAGAUCACAUUUUAAUCCUUAAAUAACAAGGAAGUUCAUGGGUACUUACCUCUUUUCCAUCAAAAUCUCUUGUUUUGCUCUUCUCUUACCACUUGAUUCACUUACUCAACUUCUCUCUUCAUCAACAUGUCAAAAACACAAUAUUUUCUCAAGAGAAAUCUUUACUUUAACACCAUUUUUAUGCUUUUCUAUCACUACUAAACUUAAAAAUAACAUAAAACCUUAACAUCCAUACCUUAUUCUCUUGAAACCAAACUUUAACUUGACUUCCUCUCUCCUCCAACUUCUAUUUUUUGAAUCUAACUUUAUAUUCUAGCUCCCCAUAAUCUCCUUAUUAUUUUUCUCUCUUGGUGGCUAUGGAAAUUCUUUUGAUUUCUAAGUGAAAAUGGUAAAUUUUUUGUGAAAGGACCAAAUUGUAAAGAAAAUAUUUUUUCUUUCUUUUCUGCUUCUCAUGUUGGAAGCAUGAAAAGAUGAAGAGAAUUCUCUAUCUUUCUUUCCUUAUAUAAUAAGUAAAAAUUAAUAAAAUAUAAAUAAAUGUCAAAUCAAAAUAUUAAUAAACUAAUAUUUAUUUAAUUAAUCUAAAAUAUCACCAACAUCAUCAUUACUCUUCAAAAUAUCUUUCUUGUUAAAUGAUCAUUUUGCCCCUUAUGAUCCUUCAAAAUUCCUCCAUUGAAUCAUCACUCAUUUUAGUAAAAUUACGAUUUAACCCCCUCAUACUUUUUCCACUUAUUCAAUUCGGUUCUAAUUCAUCCAGAUUCCUUAGUUUCUAGAUCCUUCCACCCUUAAAAUAUUUUCACUAUUGGUCCUUCAACUUUUCCAUAUUUACACUUCAACCUCUCAAACUUUGAGUAUUUACUCUUGGGCCACAAAAAUUUUCUCACUUUUUCAAUUUAGUCAUUUCUUAAAUUAAUACAUCAUAAUAUAUUUCUUAAACAGAUUUUGUUGACAUAACUCAAAAUUUCUCUUUUUUCCACUUUAUUUCAUUAUUUUACUGUACCAAAGACAAUAUCUCACUUUCUUACUGUAGUAACUUUCGGGGUGUUACAAUUAUUGUUGUUUAAAUUUCAAAAAUUUUGAUUAUCAUUAUUAACAUUUUCAAGUUGGAGUUUUUUUGUUGUCAUUACACAUUAAUGCCUUAUUUGGUUACUAGUGUAAUAAUAUGAGAAAAAAACUUAGUUAUUAGAUAUGUAUUUCUAAGGUAGAACUUGCUCGGAAGGGAAUAGAACAUGAUUCAGUCUGUGGGGUUUGUGGUCAAGAUUCUGAAGAUGUACUUUAUGCUACUAGAGAUUGUUCUGUUGCGAGAAAUGUUUGGGACCACUUAAUUCCAACCGAAUGGUGUUUUAGGUUUUAUGCAAGAAAUCUUCAAGAAUGGCUUGUUCUAAAUUUGCAAAAUCAACAUAAUUGGCAUUUGGGAGGUGCUGACUGGCAAUGUCUAUUUGGGAUCAUCGCUUGGCGCUUGUGGAAGAACCGCAAUAUUUUCAUUUUUCAAGGUACUUCAUGGACCAAUAGUGAAAUUAUCAAAGUGGCAAAUAGUUGGGCUAAACAAUACUUUUCUUCUAAAGGGAGUAAGGCAAAUGACUCACAAGGUAAGUUUCCACUUCUAUUUUUAAAUAAUGACUAUGUCCUUUUGAGUACAGAUGGAUCCGUUUUGGAGAAAGCCGGAUUUGCAGCGGUAGGAGGUAUAGUACAUGAUCGAGGUGGAGCUUGGAUUCUUGGAUUCAAUAAAUAUUUGUGGAAUUGUUCUAUAUUUGAAGUUGAGCUGUGGGGUAUUCUAGAAGGUUUAUCUCUGCUCGUGGAGUUGGGAUAUGAUAGCGUAUUGAUCCAUUUUGAUUGCUUGGAAGCCAUUACAACUAUUCUAGAGGGAUCUUCUGAAGGGUCCAAUUCUGUUUUGGUUCGAAGAAUUUAUCAAAUACUGUUGUGGUUUAAAUAUUGGAACAUUAGAUAAAUUUCUACGGGGGAAAAUCAGGAAGCUAACCAUUUGAGCAAAAUGGCCUAACAUAGAGAUUAUGGGUUAUGUCUGUUUUUGACCUCUCCUUUAGAAUGGUUGGUCUAGUUAUUGUAAUAUGUUUUUAUUUUUACUUUUUUACCAAAAGAGAGAGAGUAAAGAAUAGUUAGUACAAAUUUAAAUUUGAAACUAGAAAUAUGAGUAAAAACUAUUGUUAAAAAUAAAAAAUCUUCAAAAUAAGCAAAAAAAAUUCCCUUUUUUUUUUUGCUAAAAAUAAGUCAUAGGAAUGACUAAGAAAUGUUUGAAGCUUUCUUUGUUUCUUAAGUUAUGAAGGAUGUCAAGAAGAAGAAAUGUUUUCAUAUUUUAUAUUAUGAUUAUAACUUACGUAAUUAUAUUUUUAUCUUAAUUAAUCAAAAUAUAACAUUACGUCUACUAUUUCUUAUUUUUGCAUGGUCUAUUUGCUAUUUUGAACCUUUAAUUAAUUGCAAUUUAAGUCUCCAAGUCAUUUCCUAAUAAAAAUCUAUAGCGAUUGAACUUUAUAAUUUAAUCCCUUAACCUCAAUUAAACACAAUUUUGACUAAAUUAACUAUUCAAAUUUCUUUUCAUCUAUAUAUUAACUUUAUAAAUAUCUUUAUUCAAUAUUUACAAAUUCGAUUUAUGAAAACAAUACAAAGAACUAUAUUUUUUGGCCAAGAGAUGAUUUUCUUUUCUUUUCUUAAACGAAGAGAAUAGUUUUCCUCGGUAAAGAAAGGCUGACAUUGUGAUAUUGAAUCAUGGGAAAAAGGAGAAACCCAAGUUUAUUGAUUCCAUCAUUAAUCCUAUUAUCAUUCUCAAAUUGUCAAAUUUAAAGCUACAACCACCCUACCAGCCUACUACACAUGCGGUCUUCACCAUUCGUUUGGGGGAAUUCUUUAUUAAGCUGCAUGAAACAAGCCAUGAAAUAUUUAUCUAUCUGUCUAUAUAUAAAAUACAUACUAAAAAGAGUGGAACAGCUGGAUCCAAAUCCAAUAGGGGCUCUCUUUUCAAGGCCGUAGAAGCCAUCAAUUUUAUAAGCAAUAGCAGGCAAGGGAAAAGAAGGGUAAUGGGUGGGAGGUCAAUGCUUGCUUGGAGUUAGAUAUGGAAAUUGGAGCUCUGCAAACCGGUCUAAUAUAAGCUACAAUCCAAAAUUUAAAUGAUUUGGCAUUGAACUCUUUUACAAACAUUUGCAAUCAAAGUGAGAAUGCUGGAAAUCGCUAACUUCUUUAGUUGUUUUCACUCAAAUAUGAACAUAAAUGGUGGUGAAUAGGGUAGCCAAAAGUGGGUUACUAAAAGUAAUUGUAACUUUCCUUCAAGAGCACUAAGAAUCAUUUAUUGCAAUUAUUGCCUCUAAGGUCAUACUUAUCCAUUGUCUAGGCUCUAGACCCUAUCGCUAAACUUGCAUAAUAUUUCAAAUGAAUGGUAAUGAAUUUCUAAUUAAAUGACAAAGGUUGAAGACUAUUUGAUGCUCUUUUUCCGAUGUGAAAUACUCCUUUGACCCCAAUAAUGUUUGCUUCCUUAAAAACAUGUAUGACAGCAAUUACAUAGUACUAUAUGUGUAUACAUCUCCAAUUAGCUUAUACUCGAAAAGAAAAUAAUUCAAAACUUACUAGGCAAUUCCACUUUAGUCGGACCAACUCACGAGAAGCUUUGGGUGUAAUGUAAUGUAAUGUAAGGACCACCAACUUGUAUGAAAUGAUGGCAGCUUUAGAUUGCUUGUUUGUUGGCCAUGCAUGCCCCAUGCUCCAUCCAAUUAGAGCAACCCCCCUCCCCCUUCUGAAUCCAAACCUGUGUACUGUUUUAUCCCCUUGUUUUUCACACGCAUGCCUAUUUUUUAAUCAAUAUAAUAAACCUAGUUUCUUCUCCCACCCCCAUCUUCAAUUCUUCCACUUCAUCAUGAUUAGUUUACUAGGCUUUUGAUUCUUCCAGGCUGUCCUCUAAUUAGUAGUUAUAGAGUUAGCUUGAUUACUAUGAACCUUUGAAAUUUGAAUCCAAAUGUGGGUAAUCAACAUAUCAUUUAAUUCCUCAUUAAUGAAUCUUUGCAAUUGGACGUUGGUAGCUUGAGACUUUACUAAAGCUAAGCUAGCUUCAGGUCAAACCAGACCAACCUUUGAGGUUCAACUUUUACAAUAAAUCAUCUCUCGCUUCAUAUUUUCAAGCUUCCCAACCAACUUUUUGUUAUAAUUAAUGGUAUCCCAUUUCUUUUUAUUUUUUUAAAUAAAAUUUUACUUUGAAUUUGAUGUAGUUUAAUCAGACUUGGAUGGUGGGAAGGUCUGAGAUUCAUUAAAUCAAAAGGUACCACAAAAGCAAUUACAAGCUUUAAAAUGGUUACAACUUACAACUGGGCGCAUACAUAUACUACCACUAUUCUCCAUUCCAACCAUUCCUUAGGUUUACAGCUCGUUGAGUUAGAAUGAUAAGCCGAAAAUAUUCAAAAGAAAAAAGAAAUUAUUUAAAAGUGUUCAGGAACUCAAAUCAAAUGAAUAAUUUAAAUUAAUAUGUAUCAUUAGUUUAUCUUUAUUGUUUCUUAUCUCUAAGGGUAAUUUUGAAUAUUGAAUAUUGCUUAUAAAAAAAAUUAAUUGAAGAAAAAAGAACUAAUAUAAAAUACAGAGUGUAUCAAAUAAAUUCAAGGUAACACCACAUUUCAUUCCCUUUGAACUUUGAAGAUACUUGAUUUCACCAUCAAUCCAUUGAAUGCAUAUAUUGUUUUCAAUCAUAAACAUACCUCUUUGCUCUCCUUAAUUACAAUUCCUUUUCUUUGUUGGAACCAACCUUAGAGUUUUCACAAGCUAUUUACACGUAUGACGAGUGAAACAUAAAUAGUGAGGCUUGGGCACUUGUGUUGUGGGAGUUGUGACAUCUUUCCAAUCCAAAACCAACCAAUGCGACCCCAGCUAGCAGUGAUGAUGAGAUCCUACAGUUAAAAAAAUUUGGAGAAUGAUGUGUCAUUUUCAGCACCAUCCUCAUGAAUCUGAAAAAUCAAACUUUUGGGACCAUAUCUUUCAUUUUCAUUUAACAAAACAUGACAAAAGAAUUUGCCCAAUGCCACAAACUCCGAAACAACACUCGCCAAAUCAUACGUCAUGUUUGAGUAGGGAGAAUCUCAGAUGUACCCAGAAAAACAAGCACCAUAUUAAUACACUCGUAAUAAAUUUAUAAAUGAAACUGGCUGAAAAUUGGGUGUUAGCAUAGGGGUUAUAUAAUGAUGGGUGGUAGAGUUAUAAAUAUGCAAGCCCACAGCUGUAAAGAGUGGUCGUCCCUAAAACACUCAAUUCCAUCAUCGUCAGAGGACGGUACGAUACAAGGGUGGACUUAAUGGUGAACCGCGUGGAGUUUGUUUUGGUUUAGUGAAAGCACACAGCAUUUGGCUUAAUUAACCAUUUGUCGUCAAUCUUCACCAUGCUUUCUUCCUGUUUCCGCGUAUCAAUGCCCUUUCCCACCUUAAUAUUCAAAACUAAUGGGGCGGUCCCUAUUAGACCUGUGGAUUUGAAUAGGAGUAAUUCUCAGAUAAAUUUUGGACAUUAUUUUGAAAUUAAAUCAUUCCAACUUUCUGUUUAUUCAAUUAUUUAGAUUGAAUUAUAUUGUUAAAUUUAUCAAUAUAAUUAUAUUUAUUAUGCAUGUAAACUUUUAAAUCGAUCCAAUACUUUUAUAAUAUCAAUCUAAAUAUUGAAUUUUUUAUUUUAAAUUUACAUUAAAUGAAUAAAUAUAUAACUAUUUUUGUUUUUCCACCUCAAUGAAAUACAUUUUUAAGAUGAAUGAGAUUCAUUUAACUUUUUUAUUCUAUUUUUAAUCAAAUUGCAUUACAUUUUGUCUUUCUUUAAGAAUUAACGUACGCAACAAUUCUAGGUUGCUAACGAACAUUUAUAAUUAAAUAAAAGCAAAAGAUGUAUAGUAUGAUUGAAUCUUGUGUAAAAUUCGUUUUUGACCCAAAUAGGGGUAAAAUUGUAACACGACCCUCACUUGGGCAAACGGGCAACGUAAUGAAACACUAGAGCUCUCGUCUUUUUAAGCUAAUCACAUCCACAAUGAGGAUCCAUUCUACCAAUGAUUUCACUAACAAGUCCCUCCCAUUUUUACAUAUUUACAUUUAUACCACCCUCAUCUCUAUUCAGGGAUAGAACUCAACACAGCCUUGAACUUCCCUCUCCCUACUCUCCCUCUCUUCUCCCCGCCGUUCCCACCACCAGCACCGGCGGCGGGUGAAACCUUCCGGCGAGGAGACCCUUCAGAAAACGCGAAAGGGGUAACCGCCUUACUCCCGCGCCUGCAUUUUUCAGAGGCGGUGGUUUUCAUCAAAGCGGAGCUGGCUUUGACGGCCAAUGCAGCCAUUUCCUCAGCUUGUAAAGGAUGGUUGAGCCAACUCAAGGGCAAAGCGAAGUAAAGUUGACCGGGUUGAAGCUCCUCGUCUUCCUCGAUGGCGGAUACGAAGUCAUCGAAGUCCAUCUCAUCGGCGUUGCAGAUGAAACACAUGGGAUUCUUCUGCAAAACGUAAGAAGCCUUGACGGGGUAAGGAAACUCUUGUAACCGCCCAUCAUGGAGAAUCAGCUUGGCAGUUGCUACGUGAGUCGAAUCGCAAGAACUACAAAUACCCAUUUUCUAUUUUCAGAUUUGUGGAUUUCAACGUCGAAGCUGUCGAUUUUUUUUGGAAUAGAAAGCUUUUUUGAAAAUGUUGGUGUUGGAGAGCUGGGGGAAGUUUAUAAUAUAUAUAUAGAGGAAGGAUGAAAGGAGAGAUGUCUCGGAUUUUGGACCAGGUAGCCACGUAGGAUUUUGUCGUGACGUAGUAAUAAACAUAUUUAUGGGAACAGGAACAGUAGGCAGGGUUGCCAGGCUGUAAGUUAGUGGUGACAGGUUGUAUAAGGAGUGAGGAUGUGGGUCUGAACACAUCAACCCUGGUUUCGAGAUGAUAUUACGUUGACAGGGACUGCUGAGCUUUUUACAGUUCCAUGGGAUGAUUUCACUGCUAAGUGCAAACAUAAUGCAUUUAAUAAAAACGGUAACCAUACCAAUCAAGGAGUUUAACAUGUCUUUGCUUUAUGUUAUCAUAUUUCACUGUUUACCAUUGGUUUUAAAUAAUGCUUUUUAAGUUAGCAAGGUUACUGUAUAGGUUUUCAAGUUUUGAAAUUGAGAAAAAGUGUUUCUCAAGUUCAGUUUCUUUUACCUUUCGCUUUUUCUUUUGAAUUAAAUUAUUCAUUUAUCAUCUUCUUUUUCUUUUUUGAAAUUUAUUUAAAAUACUAUAUUUAUAUGCAGGUUAAAUUUUAUAAAAAGAACGUGUAUAUUUAUUUUUAUAUUAUACUUCUAUUAAUUUUAUUUAUAGAAUCUAAAAAUUCUACUAAUAGUCUCAAAAAAAAUUUAACUGUAAUGUGGGUGAGUUGGCAACUCAAACAUUCAAGGAAAAUACUUAAAAGUAAUGGGUAUUAAUAUGUUGUUUACAUUUCUUUUAUUCACACAUUGAGUAUAUUAUACUUAAAACGCCAACUGAAUUAUGAAAUAAUAAUACUUUUUCACUAAAUUAUAUUAUUAAAACACCAUAACUAAUGACACCUAAGUUUUUAAUAAAUAUACUUUUACAUGAUUCUGUAUGCACAUUUACAAUUAUUAUAAAAAUAAUAUAAUAAGAAAGAGGAAGGGGUAUGUUAUAUGGGGAAAAAAAGGGGCGAGAUAAAAUAGGACAUUCAUUCUAUAAAAGGUCACUAAAAAUAAGAGGAAGGUAAAUAGAUGGAAAAGGAAGGGUAUAAUGGAGAAGUAGAGAGAAACGUGGCAAUUGAAAAUCAACCCAAGGAAGCUAGGGGUGCAACUGUGCAGGGCAAAGCAAAAGACACGUGGAACAGAAGGGCCUUGGGAAUAGUAAACUCGCAGCAUUCCGACAAGACAUGGCGUAAGCUCAUCUGGUUUUGCUGCUGCUCCCUCCCUGUUUCCUGCUGCCCCGCCCUUUUUCUAAUAGUUAUUAUUUCCCCAUAUAGCCCAUGUAUUAUUAUCUUAAAUUCUAAAUCUACAUAACGCAACAUGAAAGCAUGGACAAUGUCGGGACUUUCUUCUACUCGUAUAUUUUAUAUAUUAGGUCUUGUAGGGUUUGCAUGUGCAUGAGUGAUGGAGUGAGAAUACAAUUUUUGAGCCUCCCUUCCUUCCAUGUUUCGUGAGUUGAUUAAUGCCACUAGGUAAAAAUCUAUGGUUUUAUGACUUAAAUGUUAGUUCUAGCUAGUGGCGAUUGAAACAAACAACUUGGUCAUUCUUUGAACUGAAUUAGACAAGGGUAUACUAUUAAUUGGUUUUGCUUUUUUGUUCCCAUAGAAUACAAUGCAUGAUUUUAGUUGUUAUCAUUUAUCAAUCUAGUUCCGUACGUGCAUGGUUUUCAAUUGUUAAAAAGCAAGGAAUUAUUGGUAAUAAUCGAGGAAUGAGCAACGUUUCCCACUACGAUUAAUCCUUUGCAUGAAGCUUCAGAGGAUUGGGGUACCUAUUUCUCCCCCAUUCCAUCCACCCUAGCUAUAGCUACUUGAAAAAGAAAAACCCAAUUUUUUAAUCACAAAAAAAUGGCCUCACAUGAAUGCUGUUCAUUUCUUUAAUCUCCCUUUGUUUCUCUUAUUUCAUUGGAUGCCCUCCAUAUUCCCUCUUUUGACUUUCAUCACUUUUGAAACCCAAUCUUCACCCCCCUUUUUUUUUAUUGCGUUUUAAUUUUGUUGUUAGUUUCGGUAUUGUUAUGAAUUUUAUCAAUUUUAGUUAUAUAAUUUCAAUCCUCAAGUUUGAUUUUUUAAAUCAAAUUUUAUUAUUAAUCCUAUAUUAUAGGUAAGUUGUGAAUUUAGUCAUUAUUUUCUAUUUUAAUUCCUUCAAUUUAGUUAUUUUUAGUCCUUAUAUUAUAAGUAAGAUGACGAUGUAUUUUUGUAAAUAUUAUGUGAAAAUAACAAGCUAACAAUAUUAUAUUACACAUGCAAUAUAAUAUUAUUGAGUAAUAUUUUUCUCAUAUCCCAUUGAGAUGAAUGUUGGGGGUAUUUAUACAUCCUCUUACCGUUACUAUUAUAGUUCAUAAUUGGGUCCACUAUUUUGUCUUGACCUUGGGGCCUCCGGUACUAACAUUCUCUGCCUCUAGUGUUGACAUUCUCUGCACGCUCCUUGGCUUGCUGGACGCUUGUCUAUGUAAUACGCGGUCCUUUCUAAUCCUAGGAUUGACAUCCUUAGCAAGCUUCGUACCCGUUGGUCACAAGUCUAGAUUACUUGUAGGGCUUGCAAUCCUUCCUGCAAACAUAGUUCGUGACCCCAUCCUGCGAGGUGCGCCCUUGAACUCUUCUUGUGAGCUAUCUUGGCGAACACGCCUCUUCCGAGUCGAGCCCACCCGAGUCAAGGGUUGGAGACCCGGAUCUUUUUAGGACAUUUGGGUUGGCAAUUAUGGAUAUAUAAUAAAUAUGUUUGUCGAAUAAUAUUUUAGAAAUAAAAGAAUUUAAAUUAACAAAUUUAAUGGAUACCAUUUGAUUUAAAAUUGAAAUUUCAAAAAUAUAAAAAUUAAAAAUGACCAAAUUAUAAGAACUAAAUUUGAAAUACUAACAAUCAAUAUAUUCUUUGAAUGGAGAAAUCAUUUUUCUACCAAUUGAAUUGGUGAACAUUAUUUGAUUUAUUUAUGUUAAUCCAAUAAAAUUAGGGAAAUUAUUUGGUAAAUUAUUAAUGGAGCUUUUAGAUCUAAUAAAUAGAGAUUAAGGGUUUGAUAAAUAUUCUAUAAGAGUAUAUUAAAAUAUUAAAAAAUAAAUAUUUAAAAAAGAAGAAACACUUCUCAAAAUUUCAGAACUACUUAUAAAAUAAAAAAAAAAUACACCAUCAAUAUAUCAAAUAUUGGCUUAUAAAAUUAUAUUAAUUAUAAAUUACAAGGUAGACCUAGAAGAUAGAUAUCCCUAGAAAACAUAAAAUAAACCACUAUUAAUAAAACUCAUAAAAUAGGGUGAACUUAAAAUGCUUGUCAACAUAUAGGUUUGGAAUCUUGUAAAGCUAAAUUACAUAUAGAUUUGAGGUUACUUAGUUGGGCUAUCAUGGAUAAGUAGAAGAAUUUGAACAAUUUAUCUAGCAAACUUUUUUUAUUUUUUGAAGAACACUUGGUUAAAACCUAAACUAUAGUUGUUAUUUUGUAUUUUUAUGAGAUGACCAGUCAAAACCCAAAUAAUGCAAAACCAUAUAAAUUCAACAAAUAAGGAGAAUGGGCAUAAAAAUAUUGAACAAUCCACAAGGAUUUGAUCUGUAAAAUUAUGUUAAACAUGUUUCUGCUUAAUCCUGGAUUAUAUGGGCAAAAAUAGUUGGCAAAAGAAGAAAUUAAACCCCACCAACCGGCAUAAACACAUUACAAUAUUCAUAAUAAUGUGGUCUAAACACCCUCUUAAAAUAAAUCUGUCUAACUACAUGUAUUUUAUUUGUCUUAAUCACCUAGCUCUUGUAGGUUUUAGAAUGGGAUUUCAACUUUGAUUCAAUCAUGGUUCAUAAAUAAUAAAGGUAGCCAUUGGCACUGCCAUGAAAGUUCCUCCCUUUUGUCUACACUUGAAACUUGUUUAUUUAUGUGGCCCUUAAGGGGUCUGAUAUCUUGCAUGGUCAAAAUCUCAGAUCAUGCCCUAUCCAAAUAAAAUUAUUGGUUUUGAAUGGAUUCAUUGUAUACCGAAGGAUCAAUUUUUUUUUUAAAUGACAAUGAUGAAUGCGACAUAAGAACUUUUGUUUUGUGUUAUACAUUCAUGUUUUUGGUUCAUGUCCUGUCUAAUCCGUACUAGUACCCAAGAUUUUAUAUAUAAUUGGAUAACAUUACAUUACAAGUAUCUUAUUAUCUAUAUAUGCCAAUAUAUUUUUAUAAAAAAAUAAAAUAAAAUUACCAAUAUAUUCAUAUCUAAAACAAAAAUGAAAGUUGUUGUUAAUAUAGACAUUAAGGGUGUAUUUAGUAUUACUUCUAAGAAUCAUUGUUGGGAUAAAAAAACACUUUUGAGACCAAAACAUUUCUAAACAAGUUACUUUUUCAGAGAAAAAAUGUUUUUCCCAAGCAAGAAAUUGGCUCAUAAGCACUUUUUUGAUAACCUGAAAAUUUUAGCUUCUUCCUAAAAUUAAUUUUUUCCUCAAAAAAAUACUUUUGAGAAGUAUUAAUAAACUAAGUCUUAAGUAUGGGCAUGUAUGUCGCGCCAAAUAAGUGUAAUUAUUUGUAUAGGAUUCUUUUUCAUUAGCUAAAAACAUUGUCUAAUAUGAUUACAUAAAAAUAUUUGAAAUGGUAAUUUCCCAUACAAUACAAAAUUAGUAAAGGUAUCUAUAAUAAAGUUUUGAUUUGUAUGGAUAGGUGAUUAAAGUUUUUAUGAGACACUCGUUUGAUACAGAUUCAAAUCGUGUGACACUCGUUUGAUAUUUAAUAAAUUUUUGAAGGUAACAUAAAAAUUUUAAUAAACAUGGAAAAAAUAACAAUAUAAUACAAUUUUUGAAGGUAAUAACAUAGUAUAUUUAAACAUUAUAAGCAAUGAUGGUUAUUUUUUUAAAGUUACAACAACUAAUUAACGUAUCAACGGCUCCAAUCAAAAUAAAUCAUUACAAAUACUGAAAUGAAUAUUUGGCUCAAACUAACUACUCAAGUAAACUAAUUAACUAACCCACACAUAAUUCUUGCAUGGUAAGACUUAAAUCUAAGCGCUCAAAAUCCGAGUGCCACCAAUACUAAUUAAUUAAUACAAAUAUUGUAUCUCUAUCUAAAUUUUUGGUGUGUAUUAUCAAAAAAAAAUUGCAUACAUACAAAUUCUCAUGUCUAUAUGAAAAGUAUAUCCCAAUCGAAUUAAAUAGUUGAUAUUGAAAUGUAGAAAAAUAACUUAAUUGAAUGUGUGAUGAGUAGCGGAAUUGAAGGGUAAGUGUGUACAAAGUAGAAAUAUCCCAAAAUUUACGUGACAUUUUCUUUUCGAUGGAAUGUAAUGCUUUGGCCUAAUUUAUUAGAUUAGGAAGAAAAGAAAGUUGAAGAGGAAGAAAUUUAACCCCACCAACCGGCAAAAAUACAUCUCAAUUAAUUAAUUUGUCUAAAUUAAUCACCCUAAAAUAAAACAUCUUAUCCUAAUAAUUUUCAAAGAAAUUCAUGAAAGUGAAAGGCUUUAAAAAAUCAAUACUAGGAGCACUUAUACGUAGGGUUAGUUUUAUUAAAACUCCUCAGAUUAUAGUUCAUAUUCUAAAUUCAUCUUUAAAUUUCAAGUGUUUUAUUUGAGUUAUUAAUAUAUCAAAGUAUUGUAUCAAUUCUAUCCUUAUUAGCCUAAACCCACAAAUUUGCACCUAAAUUAUACCUUUUUUUCCAUCUUGAUACUUAAACAUUUUUUUUGUCAAAAAUAGUACCUAAAUUAUUAUUUUUUUCGCAAAUUAGUACCUCCGUUAGUCAAACUAUUAAGUUUAUAUUUAAAAAAAAAACAAUUUAACCCAUAAAUUAGUACCUAGACAAUACAAUUUUUCUCAAGUUGGUACCUAAACUUUUUUUUUAAUCUUAACUGAUAUAUUCGUUAAAAAAAUUCUAGUUAAUAAUAGACUGCCACGUCAUAUAAACUUUAAAAAAAUAAUUUUUAAUAAUUUUAUUUUAUUUUACAUUCUCUCUCUCUCUCAUACUCGAAAUUUGCCCUCCCAAAGUUGAGACAUUGGCAAUUAAUUUGUUUUUGAACUUCACCACUAUUUACUUGACUUGAUGUAUUUGAAAAAGUUCUUUCAUUGAUCAAACUAGUAUUUUCAAAAUUGAAUCGUACUAGUUGGACCAAGAACCUGAUGGGUAUCAAUCUGGAGCUAAGAUUGAAUCAAUUGACUUGCAAAUUGAUAUAAACCGAUUGAACCGAGCUAAAAACCGGUUGAAUUGAUUUUCUUUAUAUUUAAAUAUGAUUUAUUUUUAUAAUUUUUUAAUAAUUUAUUUUAUUGAAUCACACGAAUUGAUCAAAUUGAGAAUUGUUGGCUUUGACUGAUUCGACCAUCGAUCCUAUUCUAAAAACCUUGAUUAAAACCAUGAAGCCCAAAAUACUCACACUUGUAGAAGAAAUAUAAGAUGAGAGGAAGAAGAAAGAAAAAAUAUAAAAAAUAUAAAGUGAAAAGAAAUAUAUAUAUAUAAAGAAAAUAUUUUUUUUCCUUUUUUUACCACGUGAUAAUUUUUAAUUGGUUAUCUCUUUUUUUUAAAUUGACUUAACAAUUAAGCUAACGAAUAUACAACUUGAGAAAAAAAAAUUAGGUACCAUUUAUGAAAAAAAAAUAGGUAUUUAAAUGAGAAAAAAAACAAUUUAGAUACCAUUUGUAGGUCAAGAUUUUUUAAGAUAAACUUAACGGUUGGACUAAUGGAAGUAUCAACUGAGGAAAAAAAAUAUAAUUUAGAGAUCACUUAAACAAAAAAAAAUUAAAUAUCACUUAUAACAAAAAUAAAAAUAAGUAUCAAAAUAUAUAAAUAUAUAUAAUUUAAACACUUAAAUUAUUUUCCAUGAAUGUUAAGUUUUGGCCUAAUUUAUAUUAGAUUAGGAACAAAAUAAAGUUGAAGAAGAAAGUUUAACCCACCAACUGGCAAGUUUAACCCACCAACCGGCAUAAGCACACCUCAAUUAAUUAAUCUUAUUUAAAAAAUCAAUGUUAGUGGGUGAUUGGUUUUUAUCGCAUGAUAGAGAUUUGUUCUGUUUUUAAAGCUUAAUUGGAGGAAUUCUUGAUUGUAACACCCCUAACCCGUAUCCGUCGCCGAAUUAGGGUUACGAGGCAUUACCGAACAAACACAACUAUUUUUAAAACCAAACUGAUCACAAACAUGAAAAUUUAAUCAUUUUCGCAUAGCUGUUUAUAAUUUACAAUCAAAAUCUAACUAACAUCGUACUCAAACCUAUACAUGCCAUAAGAUCAAGUUCAAAUAUUUAACAAAAUACCAAAAGAAGUCGAUAGUGUGAUAGACUAUGCUGAUGAUCCCUGAGCUCGUAACGCGUCUCUAAAAUCUAUAAAAACAAAUGGACAAAAACAAUCAAAGUAAGCUUUUAUAGCUUAGUAAGUCUAUAGCAUAUCUAAAAAUACAUAUAAAAGAAUCACAUAAUUCUUUAAGUAAAUUUAUUGAAAUCACAAAUAUCAAAUAUAAUUACUAACUAAACAUUGCUAUAUUGAGUCAUUUUGUUUAAAUCUAAAAGAAUGUAUAUUUAACUAAUAUACAUAAACGGACAAAGGUAUAUACAUUAUAUGCAAAUAAUCAAGUUACUAACAUAAUCAUUAACUGCAUAUACUGAUUUCUAAAGUACUUAUUGUUCGCACUUCAUCGGAUCCAUUUAUAUAUAAUUAUUCAAUUACAUAUACCAAAAGCAUAACUUUUAUACUUAUCAACUAUAAGUGCCGAAUGCACAUAUUCACUUAUACCCACCUAUGCCGAAUGCAUACAUAUACACAUUUAAAUAUCCAACAAUUUCAUGACAACUGAUAUAUAUAUACAUACUCACUAAUCACAAAGAUUCGAACGAUUAUAUACUCAUCAAACAUCUUGAAACAAUGUUCAUAUAUUUAUCCAUUUCAUUUAAUUAAAAUCAUAUAUAUAUUUAUACCCAAUGCUUAGAAUCACUUAAUUUAAACAGAUUCACUGGCACUUCACCUUAUAGACUUAUAGUCUAAUUCCGUUCACCGGCACUUAGCCUGCUAGGCCUAUAGCCUGAUUCAGUUCACCGGCACUUAGCCUGCUGGACAUAUAAUCCGAUUCAAUUCACCGGCACUUAGCCUGCUGGACGUAUAGUCCGAUUCAAUUCACCGGCACUUAGCCUGCUAGACGUAUAGUCUGAACAAUUUCACUGGCAAUAAAUCCGAUUGAUACUGAGCUUUAAUAAAAAAAUCUCAAUUCACAGAAGUUGUAUCUCUUAUUUGUAUAUAAAAUCCACAUACAAUUUAGCUCAAUAUUCAUAACUUAUGUCUGUAAAAUACAUGGAUAGAUAUAAAUCCCAAUCAUCAAAUCUAGCUUAAAUAAUUCAAUGAUUCAACCGAAACACAUUUAUGUAUACAUAACCUCAUACUAUAGAUUCCACUUCUAAUACCAUAAAAUUUAACUUAUAAUAUACUAGGUACCUUAAACAUUUGAAUUCCCUAUAUACCUAUAUAGUUUCAUAUACCAUUUCAAUACAAGAUCUUAUACAUGUACAUAUAUGCAUAUUCGAAUCUAACAACCAUAUAUUACUCUAUACUUAUUUUCGAAACAAGAACAUAUACCUAAAUACUCAUACAUAUUCGAAUUUAACAUAUAUAUGUAUAUAUAUAAUUGAAUAUAAUUUCAUACUUAUACUCAAUAUAAUUAUUAUUCAUAAGUACACAUACUUAUUCACUUCAACUUAUACAAAUGUUCAAAUAUAUCUCAUACCUUUGAAAUUUCAUACCUAAAUUCAAUACAACAAAUUUUACAUAUAUAUACAUGUAUAUUCGAAUAUAAUUUAUACAUAUAUGUUCAUAACUAAAUUUAUUACAUGGACAUUCAUAUGCAUAUUUGUAUAUUCAUAGCCAUUCGACUCUAACAUAUAUAUGUAUACAUAAUUUCAUACUUUCAAAUUCCAAAUUUCUUUCUUUUAUACUUUUUAAAUUUAACUCAACACACAUACCAUUGAUAUACAUACUCAUAUGUUGAUUUAAUAAAAUUAAAUAGCUAAUAGACUUACCUCGGAUUUCAGCGGACACGAUCGACUAUUCGAUUACUUUCGUUUUUCCCCGAUCCAAAUUCGUUUUCUUCGUUUCUUGAUCUAAACAUAAUCAAAUUUAACCUUUUUAUUCAUCAAAACAUUCAAUUAAGUCCAAAAAUACAUAAAUGGAAAAAUUACCAUUUUACCCCUAACAUUUUACACUUUUUGCAAUUUAGUCCUUUUUGCACAAAACACAAAAUACACAAAAUUUGCCUACACUACGCUAGGGCCGAAUGUUCCUUGUCUUCAUACAAGUCCACACAUUUCAUUUAUUUCGCAUUUUAGCCUUUCAAAAAUAUUAUUUUGAAAUUUAACCCUAAUUACUCAAUUUCACCAAAAAUUCCAAUACAAAACAUAUUAAUCUAAAACAUAUCUUUCAUUAUUCACUAUCAAACAUCACAAAACACAAUUAUUCAUCAAUGGCAUAGACCAAAAUAUUCAUCAAAAUAAAAAAUUCAAGCAUGGGUCAGAUAGUAUUCGAAGUAGAGCUGCUCAUGGGCCGGGCCAGGCCGGGUUCGGCCCGGGUCCUAGGCCUGGGCCCGGCCCGACCCGAAAUAUGGGUCUAGAAUUUUGCCCAAGCCCGGCCCGGGAAAAAAUUCAUAAGCCCGGGCCCGGCCCGUUUUUUAAAUAAAUACCAAAAUUUUAUUUUAAAAAUUAAAAAAAUUUAUUUUAAAAAUAUUUUAAAAUUAAAAAAGUAUUUUAAAAAUAUUUUAAAAUUAAAAAAAUUUUAAAAAAGUAUUUUAAAAGUAUUUUAAAAUUAAAAAAUAAAAAAAUUUAUUAUAUUCAGGCCGGGCCGGGCCGGGCCCGGGCCAAAAAAGUGGUGCCCGAGGCUCGGCCCGUUUUUUAAUCGGGCCUCAUUUUUUGCCCAAGCCCAUAUUUCGGGUGGGCCGUCGGGCUGGGCCGGGCCGGGCCGCCCGGCCCAUGAGCACCUCUAAUUCGAAGCAACGAUAUCAAAAACGUAAAAAUUAUCAAAAACCGAGCUAAACACAUACCUUAAUCAAGCUUAGACAAAACCGAACCCUAGGAACUCUUUUUCUUUUCUUUUUCUUUUAAGUUUCGGCAAUGGUGAUGAAAAAGAUGAACAAGUGAUGUUUUGUUUUAUUUUUAUUAUCAUUAUUAACAUAAUUACCAAACUAUCCUUAAUGAAAUAAUAUAAAAGCUAAAAAAUGAUAGUCCACUACCGUCCAUACUAUCAUUUAGUGGCCUAAUUUCAUUUUAAGGCCUCCACAUUAAAAGAACAUAGCAAUAUAGCACUUUAACAAAUAGCAAGUCACUUUUAUAAUUUAUGCGAUUAAGUCCAUUUAUAAAAUUAAAUAACCAAUCGGUAAAAUUAAUUUACGAAAAUUUCACACAUGCAUUCUAACAUGCUUUAAACACAUAAAAUAUAAUUAAAAUAUUUUUAGGACUCGGAUUUGUGGUCCCAAAACCACUAUUCCGAUUAGAGUCAAACCGGGUUGUUACAUUGAUGGUGUGUCAUUGACAGAAGGAAUACUUCAUGACAGAAUUUUGAUACAGACCGAUAAUAUGGAUGUUAUUGGGACCAUUAAGGAAUCCUUUUUGAAGGAGUCAAAUUCUGCUUUAAUAAGAUGCAUUAAUCAACUCUUACGGAAGGAGACAAACUAGUCCAUAGAUUAUGUUCCUAGAGAAGACAACAUGGAAGUUGAUCAAAUAUGGAAGUUGAUCAAAUUAUUAAGUUGGCUUUUGAUAGAGAGGAAGUCGGCUAUUUUACAAAAAUAAUACAAAAAAAUAAAAAAAAAUACCUAAAUAUUAUAUCUUUUUUUAUUUACCAAAAUGGUACAAAAAAAAACAGUUAAAAAAAAACCUGAAAGAAGGGCCUGCCACAGGCGGUACCUUUGGUGCCUGUGGCAAAGGCGGCACCAAUUGUUCGUAUUUCGACCCUUUGUUCGUAUUUUUUUUCGGAUUUUAUUAUUUUAAAAAAUAUAAUAUUUUCUAAUUUUAUUAUUUUACAUUAUUUUAGUACAUUAUAUUUGAAAUGUAUUCAUUUAGUAUGUUUUUUAAAUAAAUUUAAAAAAAACCCUUAUUUCGGCCCUUUGUUCGUAUUUUUUCCUGGAUUUUAUUACAUUCAAUAAAAAUAUAUUAUUUUCGUAUUUUAUUAUUUUACAUUGUUUUAGUACAUUAUGUUUGAAAUGUAUUAACUAAUUUUGUUUUUUAAAUAAAUUUAGUAAAAAACCCUUAUUUUGACCAUUUGUUCGUAUUUUUUCCUUAGAUUUUAUUACUUUUAAAAAAUAUACUAUUUUUUAAUUUUAUUAUUUUACAUUAUUUUAGUACAUUACAAUUGAAAUGUAUUCAUUCAGUGUGUUUUUUAAAUAAAUUAAAAAAAAACCCCUUAUUUCGGCCAUUUGUUCAUAUUUUUUCCCCGGAUUUUAUUACUUGCAAUAAAAAACACACUAAAUGAAUACAUUUCAAACAUAAUGUAAUAAAAUAAUGUAAAAUAAUAAAAUUAGAAAGUAGCAUCUUUUUUAAAAGUAAUAAAAUCUGGAAAAAAAAAUACGAACAAAGGGCCGAAAUACGAAAAAUUGGUGCCGCCUCUGCCACAGGCACCAAAGAUACCGCCUGGGGCAGGCCCUUCUUUCAGGUUUUUUUUUAAACUGUUUUUUUUUGUAUCAUUUUGGUAAAUAAAAAAAAGUUAAACUAUUUUGAUUUUUUUUUUGUAUUAUUUUUGUAAAAUACCCGAGGAAGGCUUACAAAUGCAGUUUCUCCUCUAGUUUCUUUUUAGUUCUUUUAUUUAUUUUUGUAACACUUCUUUUAUUCAUAAAAUAAAAAAUCAAUGCUAGGAGCACUUAUAAAUAGGGUUAAUUUCAUUAAAAGUCCUCAAAUUAUAGUUCAUAUUCUAAAUUGAUUUUUAAUUUCAAAUGUUUUACUUGAGUUCUUAAAAUAUCAAUAUUGUAUCAAUCAUACCAUUAUUAGCCUAACCACUAGUUUAGACAUUAAAUGUUGGUUUGGAUUUGAAGUGAAGCAGAUUUUAAACUACCCGAAUCAAAUUGUAAAUACGUUUGUACCUACCAUAUAGGCAACUUAAUUUGAUGUGUUAAAAAAGCAAAUAGUGUAAACCAUUUUCUUAAUAUAUUAGAUCCAAGCUAUUGACACAUGUUUUUAUAAUUUAACCCACGUACUUUAAUUAUGCUCCAUGCUAAAUUUGAGCGGACAUUUAAUAUUUAAAUUAACGGUUAUAUUAUUUAAAAAUGUGAUUAAUAAAAAGUUAGAUAUUUUGGAAACUCUUAUUAAAUUUGAAUACCAAUGUAAAGUUUUGGUGCAAUUUUAUUUUUGUAUUUUGUUUUAUGUUAUAGAUUCAUAUGUUGUUGGAUUUCCUCAUAUUCUAACAAAUCAAUUAAACAAUAAUAUAAACUUUGGAAUGAAGAAACAAAUAUUAUAAAUUAGAAGUAUUCAUGGUUGUCACAUUUAUUUUCCAGACAAAGCAAAUCAAAUAUUUUUGCAUCAUCAUGCAUUUAUUAAAUAAAAGGGUUCAUGAAUAAUGCAUGAAAACUUCCAUUUUUUAUUCAUGAUGUCAAAAAUGGGAUUUCAUGAUUAGAAAUAAAAGAAGAAAAGGAAGAAACAGACCUUUCCUAAGAUAAGCUCAGAUUUGGUCUGGAUUAUGUAGACCAAUAGAAUGAGAUAUGAAGUUAUGAAAUAAAUCCAAAUAUAUUCCAAGAGAAAGGACAUCUUCUUGGAAACCCCUUUCCUACUCUUCCUUCCAUAACCAUGUAGACCAGUCAAUUUUUUUAUAAUAAAAAAUUAAGUCUGCUCAGCUGAUAAUGGGUAAUUUUAGGAUUCGAAUUUGAUCUUAUAAAUAUCUAGGAAAGAAAUUUACUUUCACUUUUUUCAAUCAUUGGUUGAAAUUUAGAGAUUAAUUUUCAGUGUAUGUACUUUUUAAAUAUACGACUAUUUAAUAGUUUUGGGUGAACUGAUGUAAUUUGGUGGAAGAUGUUCUUCGGAUUUCGGAAGUAUCCUCCAUAAAAGAGGCAAACACAUUCAAUCUAAACACGUGCAACAUUCUAAUAAAUUCCAUACAUGUUGACUUUUGAUUACUUACUAUUCCUUAGUUAGAAAGUUUUAAUAUUGACGAGUCAGGGUAAUUGCACCUAUCAAAGAAAUUUAAAAGGCUGUUAAAUGAAUUUCAAUUUGUUAACUAUUACUUACCAAACCUUGUUUUAUAAUUUAAUUUGAUUCUGUAGUCCAAAUAAUCGAGUAUAGUAGUAAUUAGCAAACAAGAAUACUUGUACAACCCAACAAACUAAGGCCAUUCCCAAUGAUCCACAUAUUAAAAUCUUGCCUAUAAUGGAUAAGCAGAAGAAUUUGAACAAUUUGUCCAGCUUUGGAACACUUGGUUAGAACUUAAACUAUAGUUUUUAUUUUGUAUUUUUUACGAGAUGACCAGUCAAAAGCAAACAAGGAGAAUGGGCAUAAAAAUAUUGAACACUCCACUAGGAUUUGAUCUGUAAAAUUAUGCUAAACAUGUUUUUGCUUAAUCCUGGACUAUAUGGGUAAAAAUAGUUGGCAAAAGAAGAAAUGAAACCCCAACAACACAUUACAUUCAUAAUAAUGUAGUCUUAAAACCCCUUAAAACAGAUCUGUCUAAUUAUAUUUUUCUUAAUCACCUAGAUAUUGUAGGUUCUUGAAUGGGAUUUCAACUUUGAUUCAAUCAUGGGCUCAUAAAUAAUAAAGGUAGCCAUGAAAGUUCCCAACUUGAAACUUAUUUAUGUGGCCCUUAAGGGGUCUGAUAGCUUGCAUGGUCAAAAUCUCAGAUCAUGCCCUAUCCAAAUAAAAUGAUUGGUUUUGAAUGGAUUCAUUGUAUACCGAAUGACAAUGAUCCAUGCAUUUAUAACAAGUUUUGUUUUGUGUUGUGUUAUACAUUCAUGUUUUUCGGUUCAUAUCCGUACUAGUACUGGAGAUUAUAUAUAAAGUUGGAUAGCUUUUUAACUAGAAGGUCUUAUUAUCCAUAAUUCUCAAUAUUUUUCAUAUCUAAAACCAAAUGGCGGUAUUCGUUGUAGAUAUAGACAUGGUGCCAAUAAGUGUUGUUAUUUCUAUCUUUUCUCUUACCUAUAAACAUUGAGUAGAGAAAAAUAUUUGAAUACUAUAAUUUAAACAUUACUUGUUGAAUACAAAUAUUAUGAGGAUUUUUGACGCAUAAUAACUUGUGUUGUAUCAUCCGGUGACCACGACGGUGAUUGGAUGAAAGGGAUGGUAAGAGAUAUCCCAAGGGCUUCUAGUGUCCAUGCCGAAUUAUGGGCCUAAAUCUCUUGGAAUUAGUUGUCAUGAGAUCAAACUUGAUGCCACUGCUGUUAUUAAAGCUAACCUUGAUAAUCAAAUGCUCACGAUAUUGAUUCGAGGCUUCUUAUGAAACAUAUGUUUAGAGAAGGAAAUCAAUGUGUUAGGCAGCAACUCUAUGGAACCUCGGACUGCCCAAGUAUUGGAUUUUGGUUUUGUUGUUAACUGCUAUGAACCCUAUUUGUAUUAAAGAUUUGCUACAAUGAGACGUGGUAUAUAUACGUUUUUUUCUCAUUGAAUGUUGGAAUUAUACGAAAUACAUUCAAAUAAAUAUCUAAAACAACGGAGAUCUACUUGGAAUCCCUUUCCUACUCUUCCUCCUGUAAGAAUGUGGAGUUUGAUUAAUUCGAAUCCUCUCACCAUUCAUCUGCAAUAUAAUUUUUAGAUUAAAAUACCGUUAAAUUAAACCUAUUCGAUAUAAAAUUUAUUCAUCAUGUUUGUUGUAUAUGAAAUUAAUGAACUGUUUUUAAACUAUGAUUAUGAGAAAAACUGUGGGUGUUUGUGGAGAGGAACUUACAUGAAGAGUUUGGUGAGAGGGAUGAUGUUCCUUGGAUUCCAAGCAUCCUUCACCCGUACAAUCUAAACAAGACGAUGUAUAUUUAGAGGCAUGGGUCUCACAUAAACUAAACAACUUGGCUUCCAAAGAUGGCAAUACCCCGCUACUUUCAACCUUAUUCUGUUCCUCCAUUCUUAAUUUCUUUAUUUCACAAUUCACAUAUGAAACUCCUCCUAAUAUAUACGUAUUUGUAUUACUCACAUAUAUGAGAAUAAGGAAAUCAUAGUUCUAAGAGAAGUAGGACACAAGUUUUCCAUAUUGUAUUAGGAAUUCCUACUAUUUCCCUUUUUUGUUGGAUGACGAUUUAACUACAUUAAUAACAAAACAAAUUCGAGGGUGACUUUAUGUACUUUUUGUUAUUGCAUAACAUCUGAAAAACAAAAGAGUGAAGUUCAUUAAUACAUCUCUUAUAUUUUUAGUCAAAUAAAUAUAAGUUAGACAAUGCUAAACUUUUGUACCCUUACCCUCAAGCAUUCCCUUCAAAAUUGAACUAAACUAUAACAUGAAAAUUGAGAAUUUCAGUUCAUAGGUGAGGCAAUGGAGGUUGAUUUUGACUUUGGAACAUGGAUUUGCUUUUUAAGUCUGUUCAUUGAUGGGACAAUUGUCGAGAUAAUAAUGGAGGGGUGAUUUGAGGGCUUUGGAAUGUUUGGCUGAAAUUGGUGGAUUUUUAAGGGGUAAUUAAGAAAUGGCCCUAAUUGGUCAUUUUGGUACAACCGCAAGGGACCCUUUGCAGUUGUAGCUGCAGUUUUUCUUUCACCACCUGCAAGAAUUUGCUGAAUGUUAUAUUUUUAAUAAACUGUAUGAACUAGAUAAAUGAAUCAUUGAAUCGUAAAUUGGCAGCAAACUUUAUUCAAAAAACAUUGAAAUUCAAUUUUAUCGUUCAAGAUUUUGAUGUUUGUAUAUGAUACUGUCAAUGUACACUUCUUAAUUUGAACAUCUAAAGAACUGUCAGGAUCUGCCUGCUGAACUUUUUUGUGUAUGAAGAAAGGGUUGGAACUAGGAAGUUGCGAGUCGCUACAAAGACGAAAGGAGCCAAAGGUUGAAGAGAGUUGAAGCAAAGGAUAGAAACCACGACAUGAAAGCCAUAGCUGCAGACAACUGAUAUCUACUGCAUAUCUUUGACGGGCAAUAUGUUGAGCUGACAUUGACCAAGAGACUUGUCACACUAGCAGUUGAGCAAGCCGCGGCUAGUGAGAGAAAUGACAAGGCCUGCAAUCAGAUAAAACACAUGUUUUUACAUCAAAUUAUGAUAAGGGAUAACACCAUGGUGAUGAUAUGCAUAAUAAGCCUUGUAACAUACCCAGUCUCCAACAAUGACAACCAGCAGUACCCUUGGUUGUCGUGGUAAGCCUUUAACGAACACGGAAUAUGCAUCAACCAAUGCUAAUGACACACUCCAUGGAGUCACUAAACCCAUGACUGUCACCAAGUAGCUGCGAAAAAAUUUAAAGGAAAAUUGGAGAUUGAUUUAUCACCCAACAAUUGGUGACCAACAAUGAAAACACAAACAUUCUCUUCUAUAUCAUUAUAUCUAAUGAGCAAUUGAACAUUAUAGUUUGUACCUGCAAUUGAUCGAACAACACCACAGACAAGGCAAGUUUAGACAAUAGAAGACCUUAUCCUAUGGCAAUUUUUUAUCAUUCAAUAGCUUCUGUUACUAGUGCAAGGGCUUUGAAAUUGCAAGAACAGAUACGGUAAAACGGCCACGCCAGUCAUAGCAAAUUGGUACUUAUGGUCUUAUGUUUUUGAAGUACAGAAUAAAGUGGUUAUAUUCAUUGUCUUAAGAUUGAUCCAGAUGGUUUGUGCUGAUCUAUAGAAGUUAGAUAGCAGAUACAGACAAUGCCUCAUUAUCUAGUUUCAUCUUUCCAGAAACAUGCAAAACACGAGGACCCAAGUCAAGGAAUAAAGUUUAAAUGCAAAAGCCAUACAAGACCACUAUCUACUUUUACAAUUCACCUUGUUAACUAUCUUGAUUCCCUUGACAUCAAGCUUAAUCAUCCUUGAUAUUAGCACUUGAUGAGCUAUUUGGUUCCGGCCAUUUUGUUAAUUGCUUAAAUUAAAGCCUUUUUCUUGUACAAAUGCUCCCAACAUUGUGCAUUUUAUACACAAAAAAAGACACAUUUUUUGCAUUUCCAUUCACCUAGUGAAAACUUUUAACAGAGGAAAAGUCCGGAAUCCAGCCUUGGAUAACAAAUAUCAUCAGCAAAUAAAUUAUAUUCUAUGGUCUAGUUCAACAACUAGCCAAGUAACAGGUCAUGUACAUUGAGAAUGGUUUUGAUAACUCUAAUUGUUGAAAGUCCAAAUUCAGUCAUCCAUACAAAAAGCAAUUGAUCUUUGCAUAUCCCUGAAUCAAAAUAGACUCUCAGAUAACUUUACCCUUUCAAUCAUUAAAUGGCACCUUUCCCUGCAGUCAUCCAUAAGCAAGAAGCAAGAUUUCCUGAAAAUGGCUUUUUUUUAAACCUUAAAUUGUUUUGUUUUCAUAAAAAAAAAAAUUCACCUAAUUCAUUUUCUCCCCAAGCCCAAAAGCCCUUCCCUUCAAAUAAUUUCCAUGAAGAUACCAGUGGAACCAGAAGUACUUUUGCUCUCUCCAACAUGGUAAAGCCGCUAUUUUACAUGGCAAAAAGACACACAAAGCUUGCCUAACCUCAAUCCAAAUCCUUAAAGACCAAUCACUAAAAUGAUCACGAUUGUGAUAGUUUUUCCCUGGAGGUUCCCAAAGUAACACCAGAACCAGCUAUUAAAAGUUGACAACGAAUUGAAUUCCGAGCAAAUAUCAGAAACAAAGAGGCAUGGGUAUUGAAGAUUAAAAGCCAAAGAGAGGAAGAAAGAUAAAAUAUGACCAAAUAAAUGGAAGAAUCUUAAAACGUUGACAGUUACCUGAAAGAAGUAUAGCUAUAGAAUUCAACAUCCAAACACAUAAAGAGAAGUGAAGCAGCGGAGAAAACAGUUUGUCCCAAACGAAGAGCCAAGCUGGCGCUUGUUCCCAACGCCCCUGGCACUGCUUCCAUCGUCCCUCAUGUCAUCUUAUCUCUCUGUUUCUUCAUCUUCAGUGUAUUCCCCUAAAACCCAAUAAAAAAGCAGAGGCCAAACACUAGGAGAAGGGAUUGAAGGGAUUGAAACAAUAGAAUUAGAGUAAAAAAGAAAAAGAGAGAAACAGUGGAGUCCUAGGAAUAGGAUGAAGAAAUGGAAAGAGAGGAAAAAGAGGAGAUGGGUAGGGUGAAUGAUGAAGGAUGAAGGAGGAGGAGGAGGCCAAGUUGUUGUAAUGGCGCUUUUGGGUCAAUGUCAAUUCUCUCUCUCAUUCUUAAUUUUACAAAUGGACUGUCCCUCUUUUCUCCAUUUUUGAUUCUUGUAAGUGGAUUCCCGGGGGUUGUCCACUCUUUUGACGAUGUAAAUAAUAAUGUGUCAUUCCUUCACGUAUAUACUACCAAGACACUGUUGAGUUGAAGCUACUAUAUUUUAUUUCUGAAAUGCAAAUGAAAUUCAAAUUGGUGAAAUAUUUAGAAAUUAAACAUUGAAUAAUUGGAACCAUACAAAGUUGAUUGCCGGGCCAAGACAAUUGGAACCCCACAAAAUGGUAUUUAAGAGAGAACAAAUUCCAUUUCUAAAGACGUGGUUCAUCUAUCCUACAGUUUGGAACACCCAUGAUUCAAUCAUUUCCAACCCAAUGUUUAUAAUAUUACUUGUCUAUCUGCUUCUGCUUUUUCAACACUUCCCUCUAAAUUAUACGACUUUCUCUAUUUCUUAUCUGUAUUUAUCAAAACACUACGGCAUCAGUUGACUUGUCAUUUUAGGCACCAAAUGCAAGGAAACUAUAAGUUUAUUCACACAAAACACUAUUUUGAUGAAUUCAAAAUUGUCUACACUUAGAUCAUCUUUCUUUUUCCAGAUUAUUAUUAUUAUUUAUAAAAUUAUCAUUUAAUAAAUAAAUUUCAUAUUUGAAAAUGAAAAAAAUAUAUAUUCAUUUAUUUAUAAAUAUUUUUAUAAUUUUCUACAUAUUUUUACCAAAAAUUAAACUUUUAAAUAUUUUGUUUUAUGUUUUUCUAAUUUCUAAAUUUUAUUUUUUAAAGAAUCAAGGCUAAAUUCACAAAAUGUAUAAAAUUGAGGGUUAAUUUAUUAUUAUGUAAAAAAAAAAGACCACCACUAAUGAGUUAACAAAGGGAUGACCAAAAUAUUAAAUUUUAAACUUAAAAUAACUAAAAUAAAAAUACACUAACAAUUUUGUAGUUUACCUAUAAACAUUUUCUGAAAUUGAAAAGAUAACCUUUUCUAGUUUCAGCCUUUUAUCAGACUUGUUGAAGAUGCUAAGAGGAGUAGUUUUAUUUGGUAUUAUUAUGUGGGUGGUACACUCAUUGAUUUAUUUAGUUAUUUCUUUGGCAAGUGAAGAGUUUGGGAGAGUAAAUUGGACAACAUUUAGGGUGUCAUUAUUCAUUUGAGUGCCAGCAUACUAGACUUAAAUCAAUAGUUGUAUAGAAAAUACUGUUUAAUGAAUUCAUUCUCUAAUCUAGACUCUUAAAAGUAGAAUUGUUUAAUCUAAAUUCGCCUCUUAAGUAAGGAUACCCAGAAGAAAAAGGUCAAGUGAAUCGUUAGGGUGUAUAUGAUUAACUUAUAGUUACUAAUAAAACAAAUAAUUUUAUAUCUCAAGUUCACGAGACAGAAAGAAUUGUAGUGAAAAAGUUUCACUAACAAUUUGGAUGGAAUGAAAUAAUUAUUUCAACUCUAUCCAAACAUCUAUAUAUAAUGUACAAAUAAAUACACAAGUGUCUUUUUGAAAAGUCUUUAAAAAUUUAUCAAAUAAACAAGAUUAUUCGGAUUUAAAAUCAAUAAAUAAACAUAUGUUUUUGACUUAAGGCACCAACUGGGACAUCAUUAACAUCUUUUCUUUCUCCUUUCAUGAUUGCAAAAAUAUAUGCAUAUCACAUAUAUAAAUAUAUAUUAUAUAACUAUGUAUCAAUCAUAACUAUGCAUGUAAAAUAUCAUGUAUAUAAUAAACUAACUUUUGAUUUUCAUAAAACAUUAAUGCAUUAGACAUUAUACUUUUAAAUCAAAUUCAAGCAACAUGAAUAAAAUGAUAAAUUUGACAUACAUGUCCUCGCGAUAAAGGUUUCUUCUAAAUCAAUUUUUGAUAAGAUUAUUGACCUUGAUGCAUUUACAUUUGUCAAUAGCCAUCCUUUUAGUAUCAUGCUUGUAGUGUCGUGUAAAUAAAUACGCCUUCAUUAAUAUCUGAUAAGUUUUCCAAAAAAAAAAAUCUUAAAAUUGUUGGCGUGUGGAGAUAAAAUAAUCUUAUUAGAAAUUAACCGAAGGCUUCAAGGCUUGUAACCAUGCCACUAUUUUUAAGGAUGAAGGAUAAUAAAAAGAAACUUUUGAAGUUGUUCUUUAUAGAACAAUCUAAGAAUAUUAGAAGAUGAAGGAGAAUAAAAGAAACUUUUGUUUUUCAACUUUUGAUGUGAUUUUGGUGUUACAUACAAAUGAAAUUUCACUCCUAUUUAUAUGACAUAACUUUUGAUAUUUAAGUGACAUACAUUAUCACUAUAAAUAGUGACAACUCUUGAUCAAUAAUCAAGUGAUACAACUCUUGAUUACUUAUAACUUUGGCAUAAUGACUUCUUUAACCUUUCAACUUUACAAAAAAAAAUCAUUUUAGCCAUCCAUUUUUUUUUGUUCGUUUUAGCAUUUGAACUUGUAUUUUUUGUCACAUCACCUCAAAAUGGAUGGAAAAUUUAAUGUUUGUUAACUCUAUUGAUGCGGCAUACAUGUAGAUAGCCAUGUAAAUGACAUGUCAACAUUUAAUUAAUUUUUUAAAAUUUAAAAUUAUUAAAAAUAUAAUUUUAAUGAUUUUAAUUUUAAAAAAUAGUUUUAUAUUUUUAAAAUUUUAAAAAUUAAUUAAAUGAUGAUAUGUCAUCCACGUGGCAAUUCACAUAUAACAUUAGCAAAAUUUUUAAAAAAAAUUGACUUUUCCAUUCAUUUUGGGGUGAUUUAAUAAAAAAUACAAGUUUAAGGGCUAAAAAGGCAAAAAAAUAAAUGAAGAGCUAAAAUAGCUUCUUUUUUUGUAAAGUUAAAGGGUCAAAUAAGUCAUUAUGCCUAUAACUUUUCAUUUACAACUAUUAAAACCCUAUAUUAGAAAUGUUACUACAAAUAUUUCUCCUACAUGUGAAAGACCUACAAAAUUAAUGAUAUCUUAAGUUAAGAAGCUGAAACUAGAGUUAAUGAAAUUUCAACCCUAAAAACUCUAGUCUUUUAAUUUCCUAUAGGUAAAGUGUAGUAAAAUCCUGAAGUUACUCUAGGAUUUCAUAUCUUUUAUCUACUCCAAAAACCAUACUUGUGUCUUUUAAUCAAUGACAAAACAAACCCAACAAUUUUAUCCAAUCAUUAGGAUGGGUUUAUACAUGUUUAAUUAUGUUGUAAUUCCUAUAAAUUAUUAUACAACAAUAAAAGUUAUUUUGAAGCGUUCGAUAGCAUCAAGGUAAUUGUUCACCUUAAUCCGAUCGCGUUUGAUUGUUUGCUGAUGUAAUGGCUUGCUUUGGUGGCUAUUGCUCAUUCCUAUGGCUUUGAAUCCUCCUUUUCGUGUUUAGUAAUGGAGGCCUGAUUGAAGUGUAGGUUUUUCCUGAGCAGUUCAACUCGGACUUUAGAUUGAUCGGCUUUGGGGUGAACUGUGACUCUCGUUCAAGUGUACUAAGAUUGUUGAAAGCUUUGGCUCAUUUGGAGCUAUUGCUCUUGUUGCAUGUAAACCUAUUGGAAAAACAUUUGUUAAGGACCCUUCAGCUGUAUCAAGCCCUUUCUCAAGAAUCGUAAGAGAUUUCAUAGCAGCCACACUUGGUUUUGAUUUUGCCCAGGCCCUGUUUUCACGAUCCACAUUGGGGAGAGUUGUACAAGUAUUUCAUCUUCUAAAUGUUUAUUAACUACUGGAUUAUUAUCUACUUCUUUAGGGAUUUUGAAGAAGAUCGUGAUGUUGAAGUACUUGAAGCCACGGUUUUACCACCACUUGCACGGAAGAACCAAGGCCGUUUAUUGAUGAUUUACAUUCAAACUCCUUAAUGAGAGUGAGAUUAUUUAGUUUCCAGGAUUCCCAGUGCUUUGAUCAAAAGUAACAGGGGUUUGUAGUAGAAGCUUAGAAAAUUAUUAUAAGAAGCCAACAUAGUAACAUACAAAGAAGAUAAGGGUUUCUCAGUGGAUUACUGCAAAGUUUAGCAACACUUGUUUAAAAAUUACAAAACCUCAGCCGAGAAUAAACAAAUUCAUACAAGACUUGUUUAUGAAUCAAGCUGAGCAUACCAGACACCAGUGAUCUUGACAUCCUUUGGAGUCUUGGCACCCAAGUCAGUGUCAGAUGGCUGAAGGCUCUCGAACACACCGAUAACUUCACCGGUCUCCGGCUUGCUCUUUGUGACGCUCAAGGUGAUUUUCCCUGAUGAAGAUGCAGCACUCUUGUUGUUCUCCUUGGCUAGCUCUUCCUCAUCCCCUCUUCCUCCAGCAGGCAAGGCCACUGCAUUAUCGUACCCGGUUGAGCCACCCCUUCCCUUUGGGUCCAAGAAAGAUGAGCCACGGUAGGAUGGUACAAGGAAGUCUCCUCCAAAGCUAUCAGGUUUGCCUGAUGCAACCAAUUGCUUGAUGGUGAACAGGAAAGGCACACGCUCACCACCAGGAAGCUGAACUGUGACGGCAGCAUAAUCAAUCCCAUCUUUCUCCUCGAAUUUGACGGUGCCAUCGGUGGAUACCUCGAAAGGGCCCUCGAUUUCGUCAAGGGUGUAGGUUAAACGGGUCAUGAGCUUGGUGUUUUGGAACUCAGGAGGGGCAUUCUUGUUAACACCCUCAGCCUUGACAGUGAAGGAAGUGGGCUCCAAGCAGAACUUCUUGGCGUAGUAUUUGCCAGGCUUGAAGGCAAAAGAGUCGACACCACCAUCGAUGGUUGGGCACUGGUUAGCAGUUCCUGUUCCUUUGACUUCCAUGUAUGUCUUGCUUUGGAUUUCAUCGUAGGUUAGCCGCUUUGGAACUCCUUCAGCGCUUGCUCCCUUCAAAACAAACCAGUCAUUGUAACAUAUUUGUUCAGAUCACGGAUCAUAUAUGAUCCUUAUGUAUGCAAUCAACGAUACUUGGUUCAAAUAAAAAAUCCAAAUGAUAAAGUUACAACACCAUGCAAGCUCAUUAAGAAUCCUACCUAAGCUACAUAAAAAUAAAUACAGAAAUUUGAAGCAAGUGAGAGGCGAGAAGUAAAUACCGAGACAACAAGAGCAGAUGUAGCAAGAGCGAAACCAGCGAGCUUGGUAGCAUCAACACACUUCUGAGCCAAGUCCUUGAGGUCAGUUUGCAAAGAGCAGGUGAGCCUAGCACCAACAGGCUCCAAACCGAAGGCCUUAGAAACGCUCUGGGAGGACCUGAGCAGCACAUUGGUCCUUGAUGGUGCAGCAACCUUGAUUGGUUGCAUCAGGGUAGCUGCAGCUUGAAGUGAGACCGACAUUGUUACGAACUAUUGGAAAACAAAGAAGAGAGAGUUGUUUUAGUGAGAGCGUAGGGGAAAUUUAGGGGCCAAUUAUGUUGGUGGCAAUGGUGAGAGUAAAGAUAAGGGGAUAGGAUAUGGGAAGUUCCCAUUGGUGGAUGAAGGUAAUGUGUUUGGUUUCAGGGUAUGACACGUGGAGAUUUUGUGAAAUGGGAUAAAAAUGGGUGUUAGUCAGAGUGGAUGAUGUGAGGGACUACAGAUUUUCUUAAAGUUAGUUCUGCCAUACAAAUUCCGGUGGUUGCCCUUCCUCCACUGGGGCCAUCAUGCUCAGAGAGUACUUUGAGUUGGAAAUCAUUUGGUUAACAUAUGCUGUUACUCCCUAUAUUUUGAUACAAUUUGAGAUUUAGUCUUUGUACUUAAAAAAUUUUAAAAAUUAAAUCCUACUUUUUUUUCUUAAAAAUCUCAGUGCAAUCAUCAAAAUCACAAGUACUUUCUGUCAAAAUAUUUUAAUUUUUCGUAAGUAUUUUUUUGUCAAAUUUUGUUAACUUGAAAUUCUAAUUAGGUUUUUCUCAUAUGAUUGAUAGAAAAUAAAUAUAUUAAGUCGACAAAUUUUGAUAGAAACUACCAACAAAGAUAAUAAUUGAACUAGGAUUUUUAAAUUGAAAAAUUAGAAUGAUUGAUUUUUUUUACAUUUUAAGUAUAGGGACAAAAUUUUAAAUCCUACACAAGUACAGGGACCAAAUAAAUUUCAUCAGCUUCUGUCGUGUUUGGGUUCCGACUGGGAUGUAAAAAGUGUCCAAAGUAGCAAGCCCAACCCAAACUAGAAGAGAAGUAAAAUCAUAAAAUAAUGAUAAUGGCCCAUCCAGGAAAUUCGCGUUAUUAGCACGACGCUCUAACCAGCUGAGCUAAUAGGCCUUGAUGGCAAAUGAGAUUUUAUUAUAUAAAUCAAGAGGCUACAGGAUUUCGUAUAACAGUUCAAUAAUUCAUACACGUGGAAAGACAGAUUCGUCAUUGACGAUUAUCAACGAGAAUUGACAGUGUUUGUGGGAAAACCAGUCUAAAAUAACCAACCCCUUUCUUUAUUCCUCUGCUUAAUUUAUUCAUAUAUUAGCCCUAUCAUUUCUCUUAAGGCAGCACCCUCUGACAUCUGGCAUGCAUCCACAGCAUUUAUGAAGAUUGCUGGUUACCUGCAAAACAAAACUUUAAAGUUGUUUCAUAUUCAUAUUCAACCAAAAACAUCAAGCUUGGCUUUUUUGUCCCUAGCUCGCUUAUCAUGAUCAUCAUCUUUCCUUUCGCUUUUUCGAAACAACAGGUUUAAAUGUCAACAAAUAAAAAUACCCAUUUUCCCAAUAUGUUGUAGUUGGGUAUUGAAGUAAAGAUUAGACGACCUCAAAGAGCAACUAAAACUAUGACAAGUAACCUCAUACACCAAAAAGUCAAAGAAAAACUAUAACCUGAAACUGGGGUUGCAGGUUGCUGAUUAUUGUUGUUGUUUGUCGCAUUAGUUGUGGAUGGGAUGACAACGCCAGGCCAUGAUCGGCACAUGCAGUGUUUUCCCACAUCUAUGCUGGCAUAGAGGGUGGAUAGAUGUUUCCCACAACCACCCCAAGUGUACUUUCCACAUUGCCUGCAAUCCACCCUGUAACAUAUUCUUUAGGAAUUUCUUCGCUGGCAAGAUUUUUAAAUCUUGUACUGAUAUUUGAUGUUGCUUCACAUCUCUUUAUCCUUCUCCUUUUUCAGUCUUUAUAAUGAAACCUUUGCUUUGAUGUAAUCGAACACAUUGUUGCAUAAUUAGCUAAAUAGUAAAAUAGAAACUUUGCCUGCUUAUCUUCUUGUUUGUAUCGCUUUGCCUAGUUAUAUUCCUGUCGUCCUAUUCACUCGCAACUAUCCUUUCCGCCCCUGUUUUCAUAAUAAUAAUAAUAAUUGUUGAUAGAUAUGUCAAUGCAUUAAAAAAGGUUGGCACUGUUUAAGAUUCACCAAUAGCAACAUAAAAGGAUAAAUGCAUGUGGCAAUACAAAAAUUCCAAUCAGGCUUUUAAAAGUAGGGAAAUGAUUAUAUCUAACCAUUGAUGUACCGCAAUUACAUAUUAGAUACACUACUAGAUGAGAGCUUUGCACGAAAAUGGUAAGAGUUUUUCAGAAGCAUAUUACAGCAGAAUAUAUCAAUUAUGAAUACAGGCAACCAAAACUGUAGUUUGCUACUACAGAUGGUAAGCUUCAACGGCAGACCCCGAUAACUACUAGUUAGGCAUUAUCAAAAUCUAGGACCCAAAAUCAGGAGGCACUGAUGCCGCCUCCCUCAGAUUAUGGGUCAAUUGUAGGUUUCUUUAUUGAGCUCGAUUCUACGGCACCUGCACUCAUCAAAACACGCUUCACUCCUCUUCCUACGAUGCCAAGACGAGUGACCGCCAUGGCCCCAUUUGUAUGAGCAGUGGAAACAGUUGGAGAGUCAAAAUGAUCUACGUUGCUGUUAGCAGGAGACAUAUGUGAAGAGUUCACUGCAGCAGGAGAUGCAUUAUUCUCACCGCCCCUUGACUUGCCAGAUGCCAUUCCCUGGAUUUCUGCAAUAAUUGACUUUGGGUCGGAGAUCAGCUGCUCUAGAUCUUCAAGCUACAAAUAUGAAAAUAGACAGAAUAAUAAAGUAUGUUUUACAUCAUUAUUAUUUAGUUCAAAUAGAUCAUCAAAAUUGCACUUGCCUUCUUUUCCAGGUCUUCAGCAAGUCCAACAAGAUUGUCAAUUUCUGAUUCUUUAUCUUUGACAGAUAGAACAGUCGGAGAGCCCUUAGACAGUUGUUCACCGUCACCCAAUUCAGAGGCAGCUGAAGAUGAUGCUAAUCCAGUGGAAAUCAUUAUCUCAUUCGUGAGCAGUUGCACCCGAGACUUGCAAACUGAGAUGGCCUUCUGACCGUAUGGAAUUGCUUCUUUGGGGUUUGAGCCAAUCUCCAAACACGUACAAAUCCGAAAAUUCCUAAAUUAUAGAGUUAAGCAGCAAAUAUAAAAACUAAAUGACAUUGAAGGGUUGACUUAAGGAGAUCCACAUUUCUUCAACUGACCAAGAUACCGCAUUAUUUAAUUGAACCUGGGACAAUCGAAGAAACAAAGAUAUUUCAACCUUAACAAGGAUACUGUUCAGCUAUUUGCCGGUGAUCUGGUUCAACCAGCUGUUGCAAAAUGGAUAGAGCUUUCUGGUAAUUGCCAAGUGAAGAUUCAAUGUCCUCUAAAGAAGCAUAACAGGAAAAAACAUGGAUGCUUCAAUAAAAACUGGUAAAGAGGGUUCCUCCCCCCCACCUCAACAAAGCAUACACAAGCUACAACGAGCAGUCAAGUACUGACCCCUUUCCAAGUCAACUUCAGCCAAUGCAGAUAAAAUAUCCACUUUCUCCAUGGUGUCACCCAACUGCUGUUUUUCAGCAAUUGCCCUCGCAGUAUCUAGCAUUUUCCAUGCCAAAUCCAAAUCCAAUUCCGAUUCAUCCAUGUCCUCAUUUGCUUCAGCUUCAAUCACAUCAUCAGUGUCGCUAUCGUCACUAUCCUGUCUUUUUCACCUGAAACACAGAACGAAAUCCAACUGAAUGUGUAAAAGAACAGUUAACAAUUUAGUUUAUGAACUAUAACAUUGAUCGUGGAGCAGCUGUUAUGCACAAUUCACAACAAUGUGAACGAAAAUGAAAGAGAUUCAACUACACUGCUCAAUUCAACUAGAGGUAAAUAAUCCCCUCAGAAUACAUACUGCCAUCCUGUUCCGAAUUGCUUCAUACAGAAGCAACUGAAGAUUCCCGAGUUACAGCACUUUUGGUCGGCCCCUCUUUGUUCGAGUCUUGCAGAAUCUCACCAUCCUUUUCCGGAACAGAAACCAGAGGACCAGUCUCCUCUUGAGCCUUGCACAGCAAUGCGCGUCCAUACAGAUAGUACACGUUGAGACAUGCGACUGCAAGUUCACCGUGAUGCAAACCCCUAGUAUGAAAAAACCUUAAAUGGUUAAAUGUAACUUCAACUACAAAUGGCAAUUCACUAAACCUCUGUUUGAUGGGUUUUUUCCCCUAAUUGCACUUUGAAACUAUCUUAAUUACUUCACAUAACAUAAAUUAUAAUAAUGCAAGUUAAUGAAAAAAGUUAAAAUUUUUAUUUUUCUUAAAAGAAAGGGAAAAAAAAAGGGGGUAAAACCAAACCCUGAAUCAUAGAUUUAGUUUAUUUCCUCAUAAAUUAAAUAAAAAAUGGAAAAGAGAUCAGAUGAAGCAGAAAGCACAAGGUUUAAACCUGAUUUCAAGGGCACGGCGAAAAAAAUGGGCAGCUUGGGUGAAAUCGUUUUCUUUAAAAGCCUUGGAUCCUUUCUCCGUCAACUCAUCUGCCAACUCCAGCGCCUUCGCUCGGCCAAUAUCCGGAGCAAUUCCACAGCUUUCAGUGUUGUUCUCAUUAUUGCAUGUAGACUCGGUACCUCCACGAACCGCAGAUUCGAUAGUGGCUUCUUUUGAACCUUGCACUUCUAGGGUUUCCACCUUUUUCGGUUCUGGGGUUGGCUCCGUCAUCGUCACCGGACACCGCCGUAACUUCUUCUUCAGCCAUCACUUUUUUGCUUUAAUAUUUACCGAAAAAUACAAAAGUAUGGAUAACCGAAAACAGGUCUUAGGCUUUCUCUUGCCCGCCUUCCAGAAAUCCUUUCUGGCGGAAAAUCGAGGUUUGAAAGGAAAGACUGAAACCUUGAACGACAAGCUUUGAAGGAGAGAAGUGGAGGAAGGGUACUUUCGUAAUUGAAAGGAAAAAGGUUUCUUUUUUGUCAAAUUAUUAUCAGUGUCAGACGAUUCUGUCAUUUUGAUUUCGAAAGGUAAGGCUCUGAGGAAAUGAAAGCAAAAAAUGGCUUCCACAACUCUUUCUCUCAGUCCGCUGUAUGUUUUUAUAUAUAAUAUAAUGCUUGCUGGAAUUAUAGAAUCUUGUUGAUGGCAUAUAUUUAAGAUGAUAAAAGGGAGCUGAUAAGAUAACAAUCUUCCAAACAAAACGAUUAUAGUAUUGUAAUCACUUUACUAAUCGAAUUAAAACACUUUCUGGGUUUCAACAUUGAUUAACAUUUUACGAAAAGAAAAGAAAAUUUUUAUAGGAUGAAUAGUAUUCACAAAGCAGUUGUUGUUCAGGUCUCAUCAUUCUCGCCGAGAUGAAUUACCCAACAAGCUGUUUGUUGAAGGUGAGCUCUGUCCACUUGACCAAUGAUCUUGUACUGAUAUAGGAGACCUAUUUUUUACUUCUUCUAAUGAGGUGGUUAAACAUUCUCCUUCCCUUUGCUUCAACUUCAUCAGUCUCCGGCUUCCCACAUCGGACAUCUUUGUUGACUUGUUGAAUGAUUUCUCACUUUCUUCAUCUGAGGAAGCUGCAGGAGACUCUAUGCACAUGCCUGGAACCCAAGCGCUGAGUCUGAUGUGUUCUAGCUCUUCCGCGACUUCGAUCAUGGUUGGCCUCAUGUCCCGAUGAGGAGCGAGGCAUCUAAAUGCUAGCUCAGCCACAUUAUGAAUUGAUGAAAGUGUCCAAGCAUCUCUAUGUGGAUCAAGGUAUGGAUCAAUUAUCUCAUCCACGCAGCCUCUUCCUAUCCUAUCGAUAGCAAGUGCAGCUAAGUUUACCUCAUUAUGAGCGCGUGAAAAGUCAACCACUUUCAGCGCAGUUAUUAUCUCCACAAGAACCACCCCAAAACUGUAUACAUCACUUUUAUCUGAAAGAUGGAAGUAUUGAUGGUAUUGAGGAUCAAGAUACCCUGGUGUUCCUUGAGGGGCAGUUGAGAUGUGGGAUGAUUCAGCCAUCCCAAGCCUGGAAAGACCAAAAUCAGCUACCUUUGAUCUAUAGUUGUAAUCCAAGAGAAUAUUGCUAGACUUAAUAUCUCGGUGAAAAAUAGGCGGAUUCACGGAGUGAAGAUAGGCAAUAGCCUUAGCAGUUUCAGCAGCUAUGGUGAGCCUUACUGUCCAUGGAAGUCCUGAACCCCUCUCUCUUUGUAGAUGCUGUGAUAAAGUUCCAUUAGGCAUAAACUCAUAGACCAGCAUAGGUUCACCCUCCUCCAUGCAGCAACCUAAGAGGCGAACAAGAUUUGGGUGACUGACCGAGGAAAGGAGCUUAAUCUCAUUCAUUACUUGGUCAAUACUAUCAGGAUCUCUAUAUCUGAACCUUUUUAUGGCAACCCAGUCAUCGCUGUGGAGUUUCCCUGCAUAAACUGUACCAUAGGCUCCAGUUCCCAGUCUCUGUUUAUCACAGAAGCCAUUAGUAGCUCUUUCAAUUUCUCUAUAGGCAUAGCAAGGAACACUUGAAUUGCCUGCGGCUUCGGAUAUAAGGCGCUUUGCACUCAUCUGUUUGUUGAUGUUAUUAGAACGCCUUCGCAAAUAGAAACAUACAAGAGCCACAAUACCCAUUAGCAAUGCCCCACCAACAAGCCCUAAGAAAUUAAACAAACAACGUGGUCCAUUAGUUACUUAGAGAAGAGAACACAGAAUCUGUAAGAGGGAUGGAUGAUGAACACAUUAAUACAAUUAUUUUGAAUUACAGCCAAAUUACCUCCAACCAGAACACCAACUCUUGUAGUUCCCCCGCAAUUGCCAGAAAUGUAUUUUGAAGCAUUGCAGCUAGGCACUGAUUAAUGUUGCAUUCAGAAACAUAUUGUCAAAAACUAUAGGCAUGAAACCGAUAAAAUAUGCAAAAGUCGACUUUCCAAUAGACAAGCACCGAUCAGAAUCAAGAAGACAUUUGUGUAUUUGUUGCUAAAAUAUUUUCAUAAAUGUAGUGCAUAGUUGAUAGGAAGAUCCUUCCAACAAGUUGGUUUACCAAAGAAGUUAAAUUUCGGCCAUAUUUCCUAAAUUACAAAUCUUUAUAUUUUAGGAGGUAUGAAUUACCAUAUCCAAAUCUACUUUUAUGCAUGCCCUUAACUUCCACGAGGGAGCCAAGUCAAAUAUCAGACAAAGAUGUAAGGCAGAACAGUACAUUGUGCCCAAGAAUGGAAAACUCCAUUAGUUUUACCAAGUCAACAACGCUGUUUUUUGUUGACGUUGACCUCAUUGUUGCCUUUCUUGAAGAGGCUUAGAAUUAUGGAUUAUGAUGAAGGUGAGCGAUCAGUUGGCCCUCACAGCCAAUUUUAGCCACCAUUGAGGUUGAACAUUCAUGACACGCAUUACCGGUAAAAAUAAGUUUCAUCCUUUUGGUGCAAUUCAACCACUAAAUAAGAUGCAACUUUACAAGCAGAAACUCUUGAUCUUGGUUCGUAGUAAUGCCAAAAUUUGAUGAACCAUAGUGCAAAAGCAUCAAAUUGUAUAUGAUUUCACCAAGAGAUCAACUCCUACAAUUCUACGCCAUUUUCUUUUCAAAUGUAGUUAAACUGUUAAAGCUACCAUUUCUAGAGAAACAUUACUAGUCAAGAAUCCCACAAUAAUUUUGCUCUAAAAUCCAAGUCAAAAAAAAAAAAAAAACAAACCCGACAAAAUAAAAUAACAAGUAAAACAAAAUCUUAGACUUGGAAGCGUUGACUAACCUCUCCGGCAACCACCGCCUUCUUUGAAUCCAUCUCCUUCAAACCCUUCCUUGCAAAAACACUUACACCCCACCGUCUUGUUACCAUUCUUGACGUCCGUACGGUUAGCGUUUGGGUCGCAAUUACAGUCUUUAACCCACCAUUCCAAUUUAACUCGUUCCAAAUCCACAGAGACCGCUGAGUUCCUCGCCGGGUCAACUACAAUAGCGGUCGAGGAAAACAAGAAACGGCACUGCGUUUUAUUAACUUCCUCGAAACUCAACAGCCGGACGCCGUCACCACCGCUGGAGAAACAGCUUAUGUUGUCACUCCUAGCAGCGCAAGGGCCAGCUUGAAACGACCUUUCUAGAAACAUUGGCCUGAUUUCACAAGGACCUGGUAAGGGGUUGGAACAGUUUUGGAGAAGGAGAGUGUUGUCCACCGAGAGCGCGUAGUUCUCACCGGAGAGAACGGCGAGUGAAGCAAGCGGUCGGUAGCAUUUGGCGGGCAGGUCGAUGAUGAUGUCGUUGGAAGUUAUGUUGAGGACAUGGAAUUCUCCAAUUCCGACCCCGGUCGAGUUGCAGUUGAGUUGGAUGGGGCAACCCGGUGUGAACCCGAAUGGAAAGGGUAUGGGGCUUGAGAAAUUGCUGGUUUCGCAGGAGCCUUGGCACUUGUUGUUCUCCGAGUUAACUGAGUUUGCUCGGUAGAUAACAAAAAGAAAUGUUAUGGUUAUUGAGAAGGGUAAUUUUGCAUAGCACGACAUCAUUUUCGAUUCUCAAAGAACAAAACAGAGCAACAUCAGCUUCCUACAAAAAAGAAAAACAAGCUUGAAUAAGAGGAACAGAGUAAAAAGUAAAAUAUGUAGGUAUUGAAAAAAAAAGAGGGAGUUAUUGAAGGGGGGGGAGGGAGUUAAAGCAGAUCGAUUGAUGGCGUUGGGAAGUCCAUCAAAACUCAAUAAAUGCUAAUACAAAGAAAGGUCAAUGCAUUGUAAAUUCGGGAAAUUUCUUUCAAAAAGGAAAUUUUUAAUGAAUGGGCUUGGUUUAGUUGAGAAUAUUUAUGAGCUUACCUUGUUAUUGUUUCUUCUUCAAUGGCUGCAACAAUUGCCUCUUCUUUAUUCCAAUAACAGAGCUUCAAAUAAAUAUCUGAGCUUUGCUAACGCUUCUUUAGAAGUACUUUGAUUUUGGGUUUUUGGUUUUCAUUUCAAAUCAAACAAGAAAAAAAAAAAGAGAGAAUUUUGGAGAAGAAGAGGAAAUGGGAAAUGAGUUGAAAGUUUUUAAAUAUAACACAGAAAGAGUUGUUAAAACUCCAUUGACAAGUGUAUAGUGAAUUAAUUAUUAUGAAAUAACUGUUUUACCCUUUUAAGUUCGGGAGCUGAGGGAAAUGAUUAGACGGAAAUGUCCUUCGAAAAGUAGGUUAAAUUACGGAGAUAGACCAAACCAGAUAUUAUAUUGUGGGUCAGCACCGCACACAAUAAAAAAGAGGGUUUCGAGUUUUGACUAAUAACAUAGAUAUAUAUAUUUUUUAAUAAAUUUAAAUACAAGUAUAAAAACAAUAAUAUUUUAGCAAAUUUUAAAUUGUAUUUUUUAUUUAAUUAAUUUUUAAUUUUAAUUCAUCGAUUAUGUUUUAUUUAUGAUUUAUAUUAUAAACAUUGACGUAGAAUCUUGAAUUUUAAUCCUAUAAAUAAAAACAUAACUCUUAAAACAAUUUUUUUCAAUUAAAAUCCAAUGAAAUUAGUCAACGAGGGCUUAGUAUCAUCAACAAAUGGCGAGACUCUAGGUUUUAAGUGUCUAGAUUCGAAUCUUAUUAUGCACAAUUGUCAUGUGUAAGUAUCUCAAUCUUAACAUGUGUAGUUUUUAUAAGUGGAUUUUGUUAUAUUAUAUUUUGAUUUUUUAUGCAUUUGUAAUUGUAUUGGUUUGAUUAUACACUUCAACUUAGGUUAGUUUUUCUCUGUUUUUCUUAUUUUUAAAUCAUUUUUGUAUUUGGGUGGGUUGGCUUUUUUUUUAUGGUUUGAAACCAUUAAUUUGAGCUAAAGAACAGUUCUACCAGUUCAGAAUUUGUUGGUCAACCCUAAUUCUGAGUUGCUCACUCUAAAACCAAUCUAACCCCUUUAACUAAAUUAAUAUAUUAGUUAAUUCUUGAUUCAAUUCAGUUUUGACAAUAUUACUUUAGGUGCCAACAAGAGGUUUAAUCACGGCUCCCUUACAUAAUUGGCACUCCUUCCUUACUAUAAUAAAGAUAUACUAGAUUAUCACGCACUAGGUGAAAAAUUAUAUAAUAAAUAUAUUUACUAAAAAUGUAUAUAAAAAUAAAAAGAACCUUAAAUGUAAAAAUUAAAUAUUUAAAAUUCGUUGUUUCAGGAGUUCAAAUUUUACUAGGGUUAAAUAUUUAUUGAUUUUAUAUAAAAAUAUAAAAUGAAAAAAAUAUCUUAUAAAAAUUAAGAUUAUUUUAAUAAUCUCGUAACAAAAAAUUAUUAUGAUAAUUUCUCAAUCGAACUCUAUUCAAUUGGCUCGUGACAUUAACUCAUUUAAUAUAAGUAUAGAUAUAAAAUAUUGUUAUAAUAAGUAUGUGGCCUCUUUUUUUCAAUUUAGUGAUACUAUUUAAUUUGUUAUAAAAUAAGUUAUACUGUUUAAUAUAUUAAAAGUGGAUUAGACUUUGAUUUAGCGGUAAAAAUUAAGGUUUUUUUUGGUAAAGGUAGAAACUUUAAUUUAAUUUCAUCUAAUUAUAUUUUAUUUUUAGAUAAGGUUUCAUUACUUUAAUGGUGAUAGGUGAAGGUGAUAAUUGAUUAUAAUUAUAAUUUUAAAAUAUAAAUAAUAAAUCAAAUCAAAUUAAGCUCAAAAUUUUUAUUACAGAAAAACUAAUCCAAAUUGAGGACUUGUCUUUUUCAUUUUUCUAUUUGGAGAAGAAGUCAAGAGGUUUAAAAG
RNAcentral lists this long non-coding RNA (76794 nucleotides) under Gossypium barbadense (sea-island cotton). RNAcentral describes it as "long non-coding RNA (GBAR_LNC020765)". Lineage: Eukaryota; Viridiplantae; Streptophyta; Magnoliopsida; Malvales; Malvaceae. The record is from RNAcentral.